CCUCUGGGUUUCUUUUUCGCUCUCUUCAUCAGUGAUAAUCAUUACCAUGAAUCUUUACAUUCCCGUUGGUAAGUGUUAUUUCUCUUCAUUCUUGAUACCAUGAUGAACGCUUUGACUUGUUAAUCCAUAGUCCUUCCCUAAUUAAUUGAAAUGGUGAACAUCUAAGAUUUAAUUUCAUUUCAGACAUUUUAGGGUUUCAUAUGUUUGUUUUGAUUUGAGGGUUUUGGGUUGGGUUUUGACAAUUUGAAGGUUAUGGUUAGAAAUUGGGUGAAAAGAGGAAGAAAAUAAGGGUAGAAUGAGGAGGUCUGGUGGUGCCCCACCGCAUGAAGCAAUUUCUGGUACAGCGGGGCGAUUUUUGGAUGCCGCGAAAGUUAGAGAACGAAGAGAAAGAGGGUUUAAGAGAGUAUUUGUGAGGAGAGAGCAAAAGGGAAGCGAAAUGAGGUCUUUAUGCUUUUUUAGACUUCUCUCUCUCACUCUCACUCUCUCACUCUCACUCUCUCCCCCUCUCUCUCUCUCUCUCUUUCUCUCUCUCUGAUGGGUUGCUCACAUUUGCCCUUCAUACCUCUUGUUAGAUGGAAACGUGUGUAGUGUUUGGACCAUGGUAUUGGUUGACUAGCUACAAUCAACCUUGAAUCUGAUAUGCAUAUCAUCAGUGUGUUAUAGUGUACAUACACAUCACGCCUUUAGACCAGUUUGACCAUGUUUUGAUCUCCACAUCCAAUGGCCCUCUUAGUAAAGUCUUUGACUCUAAUAUUGGGCCUCUUCAACUUUGAGUCAACUCCUUUUUUUAUUUUAUCACCCCCUUAUUAAUGUUGCAAGCGCCCUUUUGGGUAUUUUCUUUGAUUUAUUUUUUCUGACCCAUUUUUUUUUGUUGCUUAAUUUAACUAAUCGUGGAUUAGAUUAGUUAAUUUUUUUAAUAGAUCUGAUAGUUUGGUUAAUGGACCUAAUUAGCUAUAGUUUGUUUAAUCAAAUUUAAGUGUGUUUAUUUAUCUUAUGGACUUAGAUCUUUUUUAGUAUUUGUGUCGUUAUAUCUAAUUUUAUAUUUUUAUUCACAUUUGAUAAAGAUGUAAUAUUUUCUAGACUUAUAAUUUGUUUUAAUUAACUAAUCAUGAUAGUUAAAAUUUAAUUAAUUUAAUUAAAUAAUGAGAUUAAUUUUUUAUUAAUUAAUUAAAAAAAUUAAAUUUAAUAAACCUAAAUAUUUAAUUAAGAUAUAGUUUAAUUAAUUAAUUGCAUCCUCUUGUUUAAUUAUCAUAUUGAUCAUAACCAUGUAUCCCAUUUUGGCUUAAAAUCAUAUUUGUUUUAUUAUCCUAUUUUGAUUUGCUAUUACUUGUUUAAUUUGAAAUUAGAAUGAAUGAUAAUUUUAAUAUAUAAAUGAUUUUCUAAAAAUGUAAAAAACCUUGGUCCAACGCCAAGUAGAUUUUCAAAAUCCAAUUCCAAAUCAAACCAUUUUCAUAACUCAAUUCAUGUCCGCGAACGCAAAUAAAAACCUCAAUCAACAUCAAACGUUUUUGUCCAAUUCAAAUCAAAACACUUAAUCAUAGUUAAACACCAUUUAAAAUGAUGAAAAGGGAUAUGGUAUAGAGUCUUUUAUUCCUCUCCUCGAUUACUUGGAUACGAGUUGCCUUACUCGACAAUUCGAGCAAUCGUCAUCCAUUAAAAAACUUGUAAUAUGAUUCAUCUCAUACCAUUUUUCAUAAUCAUCUUAAACAAACCCAUUUUUCGUAAUAACUUUGACGAAAAAAGGAGGUGGUUUAGAGUCUUCUACUCAUUUCCUCAAAUACUUGGAUACGAGUUGCCUUACUCGACCAUUCGAGUAUUCAUCGUUCAUUCAAAAUACAUCAACCUUAUAUAAAUCCUUUUACAAUUAAGGAUGAAAAGUAAGAUGGUCUAGAGCUUUUUAUUCCUCUUCUCGGUUAUUCGAAUACGAGUUUCCUUAUUCGACCAUUUGAGUAAUCGUCAUCCAACAAAAUAUUCAACCGAUCGAUCCUAUUUUCUCGCCCAGUGCGAUCCAACUUUCUUUCUAAAACGAGGUUGCUUUAUCCAUUUUGUCGCAUUACGCGAAAAACCGGCGAGAAAACGAAACGACAGAGCCGCCACCGUGCGUUAUUUAUCCCAAAGGAGGGAAAGGAAACGCUCGAAGUAAACCUGGAAAAGACAUGGUCUCGCUACCAGAGAAAGAUGGGAUUGGGAGUCGGUUAUGCGAAGGGAAGGUAUUAGCACCCCUACGUAUCCGUCGUACUCGACGGGAUCCACGCUCAGAAAGAAAAGAAGAAAGGUUGCUAAAACUGCUCACAAACUGCACAAGGUUGGAAGGAAACACCGAAAGACAAAAGAAACGGGACUCGGUAGGAUAUCGCAUCCUGGGCCUACGUAGUCUGUCAGACACAGACAUCAGAGUCGAUGUAGUUCGGGAACAGGGGAAACGUGCUCGCUAGGAUGUCGUAUCCUAUGCAUACGUAUCUUCUCUAACCAGAGAAAGAAUCAGAGCACCCAUAGCUCGGCUAACGCACGCCGAAACAAAACCCACACAGGAAACCGACUGCCAAUCGCUGGACUUACGUCAGACUCCACACAAACGGGCAAACAUGGAAACCGAAGGCCAAUCGCUGGACUUACAUCAGACUCCGAACCAACAAACACACACAGGAAACCAACUGCCAAUCGCUGGACUUACGUCAGACUCCAAACACAACACAAAGGGGUUGAAAAAGAAAAAGGGCGCCCGGAGAGAUCAGCUCAUCUCCUGCCUACGUACCUCAUCUGGUAUGAGGAUCAGGGCGACGUAGUUCCCCUAAACAGGGAAAGAACUUCUAACCUAACCAGAUACAAAGGGAGACACAAACUACUAGGGAGACUACGACUCGAGCCUAGAAGUUGUCAUGCAUACGAUCCCUAUGUUAAGGUUUCUAUCUAACUUGCACAGGAAGCAAGCUAUCCUAACACAGCACAAUCAAUCAAAAGCACAAAAAGCAAGCACAUACACUAUAUGCAAACAGAUGGGCUCAUACAAGGUUAGGCUUUAGUCAAGGGGUCAUGUCAACCUCAACAAACAAGCCACUGGAAUGGGGUAUGAUUAGCUCUUAACCCUAACAUUGAGAGUUAGGGUGAAGCAGAUGAAAGGGAGAUGAGGGUAAGACCUCACAGCUCUUAUCCCUGGCCUGGGAGAGCUUGACUCAAAGUAGAAAGUGUGGGAGUUCAGAAUGUAGGAACUCUUCUCCACAAAUGACUGACACAACAUGAUCUUGGGUUAUUAUCCAUAAUGCAUCAACCCAAGGUAUGUGAGUAAAGUGAAUGACACAACUGAAUAGCAGGGGAUGGAUUGCACAUCCCUUUUAUCUUCCAAUUGCCUCUUAAGAGGUCUUUACCUGCUUGGCACAAAAUCAAACAAACACAAGCAUUGCCUCUUAAGGAGGGCUUCAGACAGGUGCCUGCCCACAUAACAGGACAGGUCUUCCAGACAACAUAAAGUCAGAGAGUUAUACCUAAGUGGUAAGCAAACCACAAGCCAAGCUAGGCAACUCAAGCAAUGAGUUAAAGCUACUAAAGUACCUGUGCAAACAACCAGACAAUCAGUACACAGUUCAAACAAACAGACAACAGUCAUCAGGCAAUAAUAAACAGACAAAGCAAUCAGGCAACAAUGAGCAAGGCACAAGCACAAGGGGAUUUGUUCUAAAAACCUACAAAACAACACAAUGUUAGCCAACAUCAACCAAUUAAUCAAACUCAAAUGAAUGAGCCACUCCAAUCAUGACAAUGUGCAUCUGAACCUGAAAUCCACAAUCCAAACAGUGAGUCCAAACCACUAGGUCAAAGCCUAGGGUCAAAAGAGGGUCAAACAUUCAAAACAGAACAUGAAAUUUAACAUGAAUCAUCCUCAUUCAAUCAAGAACAAAUCUCAAAAAGUCCCACAUCAAAAUCAUUAAGCAUAUUCAUUUCAUGAGCAAAACAUGGCAAGGCAUGCAAAUGGUGAUCACAUUGAGACAUCAGAAGAAACAAAUGCACAUUAAAUCAAAAAUGACUCAAAUAAUCUUGGCAAAAUUCAUGAGUGAACAGGACAUAUAACAUGAUCAUCCCACAAAAAAAUAGAGGCAUUGGACAUCAUUAGGCAUGGCAAUCACAUAGCAUAAUCAAGACAAUCACAUGUGUGACACAAAUUGUCACACCAAGUUAGCAUAAUCAUAAAACAGAGAUGGAUCAUGGGAAAAAUCUCAAACCAAAGCCAAAACAUCACUCAACAUGUCUAGAANNNNNNNNNNNNNNNNNNNNNNNNNNNNNNNNNNNNNNNNNNNNNNNNNNNNNNNNNNNNNNNNNNNNNNNNNNNNNNNNNNNNNNNNNNNNNNNNNNNNNNNNNNNNNNNNNNNNNNNNNNNNNNNNNNNNNNNNNNNNNNNNNNNNNNNNNNNNNNNNNNNNNNNNNNNNNNNNNNNNNNNNNNNNNNNNNNNNNNNNNNNNNNNNNNNNNNNNNNNNNNNNNNNNNNNNNNNNNNNNNNNNNNNNNNNNNNNNNNNNNNNNNNNNNNNNNNNNNNNNNNNNNNNNNNNNNNNNNNNNNNNNNNNNNNNNNNNNNNNNNNNNNNNNNNNNNNNNNNNNNNNNNNNNNNNNNNNNNNNNNNNNNNNNNNNNNNNNNNNNNNNNNNNNNNNNNNNNNNNNNNNNNNNNNNNNNNNNNNNNNNNNNNNNNNNNNNNNNNNNNNNNNNNNNNNNNNNNNNNNNNNNNNNNNNNNNNNNNNNNNNNNNNNNNNNNNNNNNNNNNNNNNNNNNNNNNNNNNNNNNNNNNNNNNNNNNNNNNNNNNNNNNNNNNNNNNNNNNNNNNNNNNNNNNNNNNNNNNNNNNNNNNNNNNNNNNNNNNNNNNNNNNNNNNNNNNNNNNNNNNNNNNNNNNNNNNNNNNNNNNNNNNNNNNNNNNNNNNNNNNNNNNNNNNNNNNNNNNNNNNNNNNNNNNNNNNNNNNNNNNNNNNNNNNNNNNNNNNNNNNNNNNNNNNNNNNNNNNNNNNNNNNNNNNNNNNNNNNNNNNNNNNNNNNNNNNNNNNNNNNNNNNNNNNNNNNNNNNNNNNNNNNNNNNNNNNNNNNNNNNNNNNNNNNNNNNNNNNNNNNNNNNNNNNNNNNNNNNNNNNNNNNNNNNNNNNNNNNNNNNNNNNNNNNNNNNNNNNNNNNNNNNNNNNNNNNNNNNNNNNNNNNNNNNNNNNNNNNNNNNNNNNNNNNNNNNNNNNNNNNNNNNNNNNNNNNNNNNNNNNNNNNNNNNNNNNNNNNNNNNNNNNNNNNNNNNNNNNNNNNNNNNNNNNNNNNUAUGAUGCUUGUGGAUGUGAUUGGUGAUGAAUUAGAAGCUCAAAUGCACACGAAUUCAGUUCAAUUUUCCAAUGCCAUGGAUGCUUCAAGCUUUGAAUCUAUCUCAAUAUGCCACGAGUUUCUCUGAAUCCACGUCCAAUUCUACUCAACAACACCUCAGGAACAUGAAUCAACCAAUAGAAAGUGCUUUUGUUUGAAGAAAUUUGGAAAAAGUUUGAGAGAAAUUUUUGAUGAUUUUCUUGAAUCCAGAUCUGAAAUGUUGCUAAUGAUAAAAAACAGUUAUGAUUAAGUAUAUAUACUUCCUACUAAUCAUGUUUAAAACCAACUUAAGCCUAAUGCCAAUGUGAUUAGUAAGUUGGAAGGUGUUUGUACAAAAAUGAGUUUUUCACUUCAUGCACCCCAUGCACGUGAACAAUGUCAAUUCAAGGCCCAAAUCCACUAAAAAUGAGUUCAUGCAAGGUUGUGAAUUGGUUUGGUAUGCAUAUGUUCCACAAAAUGAAUUUUAUGCAAUUUCCUUCAAAAAUCUUCAUGAGUGAACCAAAGACCAUGCAAAUGAAAUUCAUGUCAAGUAAUGGUAUGCUUGGAAAGUACAUGUUAUAAGGAUCAAAAUGCAAAAAGAACCACUCAUUUUGAAGUUUUGGUUUGAAAGUUAUGCUCAUUUGAACUUUGAAACACACUUUGCCAUGAUUGGACCAUAACUCCUCAACCACACAUGAGAAAUUCAUGACCUUAGACUUUUUGGAAACGGGAGAGAAAGAUCUUCAACUUUCAUGUUGGACAAAAUUUCAUUUGAAGCUUUCUUGAUGAUGUAAUCUUGAGUUGAAGUUGGUCUAAAACCUUUCCAUUUUUGGAAAGUUCAAAUUAUAGGUCACCUGCUAUUUUUGGAAAGUCUUGACCUGACUUCAAAUUCUUCAGUGUUGAUGUUUGAAAUGUCAAAUGAGACUUGUUUGAACAUGAAUGAGUCAUCUCUAACCACUUCCCACCUUCAAAUCCACAGUUGAUUUUGCAGUUGACUUCUGUUGACUUUUGUGGGCCUCAGAUGAUUUGCACAUGGACUGAUGAGCUCUGAGCUUUCAACACUUGGCCAAUAUUGCUUCAAAGUGAUCCUUGGGUCACAUGAACUCAUUGUACCAACCCUAGGGCUUUGAUCUCAUUGAAAUUGCCUUGUUGCCUAUAUGCCACAGUCGGAAUCUCUGACGUCCUGCCAUGCUGACAAUGUAGAUGGACUGUAUGACGUGCAAUGCUAAUGCAAAUAGUAAGAGUGAUGUAAUUGGACUCCAAUUGAGAAAUGACAAUGUAUAUACAAUGGGAAGGUCAAAUUUGCGUGCACAGCUUGCCCCUAUUCAAUCAACUGGGAACCUGAACGGAUGAGAGCAACGGUUGUCAGACCUUCAAGGUAAACAGGGAUUGAAUACCAAAGAACCGUAGAAAUUUGCACUCUGCGGGGAAUGAACAGGGUAUUGGCCACAGUAACCAUACAAGACGUUUACCGACGACUCUACUGGGGAGUUUGAUUUUUUUACCAAUGGAAAGAUACAGCCAGACGUCAACGGACAACUAGGAAAAACUCGACAUUUAUCGACACCAACAGAGAGGUGACCAGUCAUCAAUGGAUGAAUGGGAGGAAGAAAUAUAACCAUACGUCAACGGACGAACGGGAAAAACUCAACGUUUAUCGACACCAACGGAGAGGUGACCAGUCAUCAAUGGAUGAAUGGGAAAGGCUCGCCCAGACGUCAACGGACGAACGGGAGAAGCUCGACGUUUAUCGACACCAACGAAGAGGUGACUAGACAUCAACGGAUGACCUGGGGAAAGAGAUACAACCAUACGUCAACGGAUGAAUGGGAAAAACUCAACGUUUAUCGAAACCAACGGGGAGGUUACCAGACAUUAACGAAUGACUGGGAAGACUCGACCAGACGUCAACGGACGAAUGGGAGAAGCUCGACGUUUAUCGACACCAACGGAGAGGGUGACCAGACAUCAACGGAUGACUGGGACAAAUACAAUGUUUGCCGACAUCGAAAUAUGAUGCGUACAAAAGUGAAGCAAGACCAGACAUUUUGAGUAAGACUCGAUGUUUACCGACACCGAAACAAUGGUGUUUACCGACACUAAAGAAAGGACGACCAGACAUUUACCGAUGAUUGGGGUGAGACUCGAUGUUUACCAACACCGAAACAAUGGUGUUUACCGACACCAAGGAAAGGACGACCAGACAUUUACCGAUGACUGGGGAAAGAAAUGCAACCAGAUGUCAACGGACAACUAGGAAAAACUCAACGUUUAUCGAUACCAACGGAGAGGUGACCAGACAUCAACGGAUGACCUGGGAAGGAGAGAGAUGUUACGAACAUCGGAAGAUGAUGUUUACCGACAUCAAAAAGGGAAGACCAGACAUUUACCGAUGACUGGGGUGAGACUCGAUGUUUACCGACAUCGAAAGAUGAUGUUUACCGACAUCAAAAAAGGACGACCAGACAUUUAUCGAUGACUGGGGUGAGACUCGAUGUUUACCGACACCGAAACAAUGGUGUUUACCGACACCAAAAAGAGCACACAAGGGUGCAAACAUGACACUUACCGGUAUCACAGGGACGACAUCCUCAUAUGUCAAAGCAAAGCUAAACACUUGCUGGGGAACUCACUGGGGAGAAUCAAGCUUCCUUUCACGGACGGGUGAGAACUAAACGUCUCUGGGAAGUUAUCAAUCCUGAAUGCUGUCAGGAGCAACUGUAGCAAAUGUGCCGUACAGAUGUUGAACAAUGAUCCGCCUCUGCCGGGGAUAUGAUCUGAUUAAGUUUGACACAUGAAUGCAUAUGUUUGAAUUUUUCUAUGGCGUAAUGCUCCAUAUUGAAUGGAAAUGCUACGCGAUUUGAGGAUGCAAUGAUCACUACAUGCAAGAUGCAGAAAGAUGAAAACUUCCUGCUGAGGAGCAAACGAACUGCUCUGCUGAGCACACAAACAUGAAUAGAUUCUCCAAUUAUGUGGGGAGACUCUGUCUGAGGAAUGCUCUGUGGGGAAAAAGCACCAACUUAUCAAACGUGCUGGGGAAUAGCAUCGCUGCUGAAGAAAGAAUAGAUCCCACCGGGGAUAACCUUCACCAAAUCCAAUCCACUCGGGGACUCUGCUAGGGGAACAACUAAUGCUCGCCUCUGCUGAGGAUGUCUGCCAAUCCAUAGGCAGGAUAAAAUCUACUGGGGGUAACUUCCACCGAACCUGAUCCACUCGGGGAAUUUGCUGGGGAAAACCAUCAACACAACCCUCUGCUAGGGAGAUCUGCUAGGGAAAACAUUCACAACCCUAGUGGGGAAAGGUAUAACUCUGUUGGGGAAAUAAUAAACCAGACCAUGCUGGGGAUAGACAUCCACAACUCUGCCGGGGAAAAGCGUUCACGACCAUGCUAGGGAUAGCAGUACUUCAAAUCCGGCUGCUGAGGAAUACACUACUCACUGAUACCUCCGCUGGGGAUACAACAACCUUCCAACUCGGUGGGGAUUAACAAUCUUCCAACUAGCCGGGGAUAAACCCACUUCCAGGCCUGUUGGGGAAAGAAUAGCCUUUGAUCCUGCUACUGAGGGACACAUUAUCCACAGACGCCUCUGCAGGGGAAAAUAGUUCUGAUAGCUUUCAGACUUGCUUGGGGAAACAACCACUUUCAAGUCUGCUGGGGAAACAUCCUCAAUCCUGCUGAGGAAUUCCUGAUCUCACACUAUUGGACAGUGCUGACAACAUCCCUGAACGAACCGUGGCUUAUCUGCUUCAGCCAGGAACCAAAAGUAAUAGCCUGCAAAACAACAAGGCAAACAUGCCCCAAGGGGAUUGCAUAGACAAAAUACACCCAAGUGUCCUCAACAUUCAAAAUGAUUUUCAAAUGUUUUAUCUUUCUGCACGUUAUUGUCUAGCCUUCAUGUUUUUAUAUGCAAUGUUUAUCAAAAAUUCGGACGUUUUUGCAAACAAACAGUAAAAAAUAAAACAAGAUAGCAGAUUAUCUGAAUAACGCUUUUAUUGAUUGAAAAUGGGCCUGAAAAGGCGAAUACAUCGGAACAAUUCCUUAGAGAAGAGGUGAUUUGCGCAAUAAAAGGUACCAAAAUCUAUCCUAAGGCAGAGUGAAUACGGCAUCCUAGUCCCAAUGUCUGUAUGACUCACAGAUCACAAUUGUCUCCCCGAAUUCCUUGCUUUUGUGAGCAGAAUGACUGGACCGAUCACAUCUCGAGAUGGUAAGCAUGAAGCGCGAUAAGACAGAUAUCAACUGUAUGCGCCCUGUUGGGCCUGAUCGCCCCUUUUCUGGGCAAUCCACCAGCCGGGAUACCCUUUUUUUGCCUAAGCCGCCCUUGGGCGCGGUUUUCGACUUUACCGGUGUAGCAAAUUGCUUUCAUUUGUAUCCCUAACUUUGCGUCCGAACCUUUUUCUCUCUUUUUUUUGUCGCUGCGGGAUGCCCUUUUUGGCUGGACUCUUUUACGUGUGCUUUUGUCCAGCGGUCAAGUUAUGCGGAAGUAUUUUGUGACUACAUUCUUGAGUUAACAGGGGAAGCGGACAGUCGGUCACCACCUCAUAGUGUUAAGCCAUUCAGGCUCCACAGAGAAAACCUUCUUAACAACAUAUGGACCUUCGUAUUAGGCGUCCACUUGCCCCUGUUUACUGUACCGGGAGGAAGGAUCCUCUUCAAAACUAGAUCACCAGUCUGAUAGCUUCGAGGACGCACUUUCUGAUCAAAGGCUCUCUUCAUUCUUCUCUGAUACAACUGCCCAUGGCACACAGCUGCUAAACGCCUCUCUUCGAUAAGGCUCAACUCGUUAAACCUUGUUCGAAUCCACUCAGCUUCAUCAAGCUUAACAUCCAGCAAGACUCUCAGAGAAGGGAUCUCCACUUCAACUGGUAGGACUGCUUCCAUACCAUACACAAGGGAGUAAGGGGUUGCCCCGGUCGACGUACGUACUGAGGUACAGUACCCAUGCAAAGCGAAAGGCAGCAUCUCAUGCCAAUCCUUGUACGUCACAAACAUCUUCUGCACAAUCUUCUUAAUAUUCUUGUUUGCCGCCUCUACAGCCUCAUUCAUCUUCGGUCUGUAAGGAGAAGAAUUGUGAUGUUCAAUCUUGAAAUCUUUACAAAGCUCUUUCAUCAUCUUGUUAUUGAGAUUCGAACCAUUGUCAGUGAUGAUUCUCUCAGGAACCCCAUACAUCUUCGGUCUGUAAGGAGAAGAAUUGUGAUGUUCAAUCUUGAAAUCUUUACAAAGCUCUUUCAUCAUCUUGUUAUUGAGAUUCGAACCAUUGUCAGUGAUGAUUCUCUCAGGAACCCCAUAACGAAAGAUGACCUCCUUCUUAAUGAACCGGGCAACCACUUGUUUGGUAACGUUAACAUAGGAAGCUGCUUCCACCCCCUUGGUGAAGUAAUCAAUCGCAACCAGGAUGAAGCGAUGUCCAUUGGAAGCAGUAGGCUCAAUCUUUCCAAUCAUAUUAAUUCCCCACAUGGCGAACGGCCAAGGCGAAUUUAUGACAUUCAGAGGGCUUGGUGGUACAUGCACCUUAUCAGCAUAAAUCUGGCAUUUAUGGCACUUCCGAGCAUAUUUGAAACAAUCGGAUUCCAUAGUCAUCCAGUAAUAACCGGCUCUCGACAACUUCUUAGACAUUGCAUGACCACCAGCAUGGGUACCAAAAGAUCCUUCGUGCACUUCCUGCAUCAACAUGUCUGCUUCGUGUCUAUCCACGCAUCUGAGCAGAAGCAUGUCAAAGUUUCUCUUGUACAGCACAUCGUCCUGAUUCAAAUAAAAGCUUCCAGCUAGCCUUCUCAGGGUUUUCUUGUCGUUCUUUGACGCACCUUCAGGAUACUCCUGGCUUUUGAGGAAAUUCUUGAUAUCAUAGUACCACGACUUCUCAUCCACAACAGACUCGGCCGCAAACACAUACGCAGGCCUCUCGAGUCGAUUCACCGCAACAUGUGGCACAUGAUUCCACCAAUGAACUUUGAUCAUGGACGACAAAGUAGCCAAGGCAUCAGCCAUCUGAUUCUCAUCCCGAGGGACAUGAUACAACUUCACCUUCUUGAAGAACGUCAGUAUUCUUCUGGUCUAAUCUCUGUAAGGAAUCAAAUGUGGUUGAUUAGUAUUCCAAUCUCCAUUGACCUAGUUAAUCACUAGAGCGGAAUCUCCAUAAAUGUCAAGAGUUUUGAUCCUCAGAUCGAUGGCUUCUUCUAUCCCCAUGAUGCAGGCUUCAUACUCAGCCUCGUUGUUGGUCACGUCAAAAGUCAGUCUGGCAGAAAAAGGUAUAUGAACACCUUUAGGAUUGAUAAGCACUGCCCCAACACCGUUACCGUUCACAUUCACAACCCCAUCAAACAUCAGUGUCCACUUGUCAUCAGGAUCCGGUCCUUCCUCGACAAGAGGCUCUUCACAAUCUUUGAUCUUAAGAUGCAUGAUGUCUUCAUCAGGGAAUUCAAACAUCAUCGGCUGAUAAUCAUCAAUCGGUUGCUCGGCAAGGUAGUCUGACAGAAUACUACCUUUGAUGACCUUCUGCAACGUGUACUGGAUAUCAUACUCAGUUAGGAUCAUCUGCCAACGGGCAACACGUCCGGUGAGAGCCGACUUCUCAAAGAUGUAUUUCACUGGAUCCAUCUUAGAAAUCAACAAAGUGGUAUGAUUCAACAUAUACUGCCUCAGUCGGCGAGCAACCUAGGCCAAAGCACAAUAAGUUUUCUCAAGCUGUGAAUAUUUGAUUUCACAGUCGGUAAACUUUUUGCUAAGGUAGUAUAUGGCAUGCUCUUUUCGACCAGACUCGUCAUGCUGUCCCAAUACACACCCCAUUGAGUUCUCAGUCACUACAGGACUUAAUCAGAGGUUCUCCCCAGGAAACUGAGUAUAGGAUUGGAGGUUUUUUGUAAAUACUCUUUUAUUUGUAAAAGCUUCUGACCAGCAUCAUUCCACCUGAUUGCUUGAUUCUUUCUUAGCAAUUUGAAUAUCGAUUCACACGUGGCAGUUAGGUGAGAUACAAACCUUGCAAUGUAGUUCAAUCUCCCUAAAAACCCACGAACUUGCUUUUCAGUUUUCGGUUCAGGCAUCUCUUGAAUAGCUUUUACUUUUGCUGGAUCAACCUCAAUCCCUUUCUCACUGACAAUGAAACCCAACAGCUUCCCGGAUCUCACCCCAAACGUACACUUGUUUGGAUUCAGCCUCAAUUUGAAUUUUCUCAGUCUAUCAAACAACUUCUGCAGAUUUACCAGGUGCUCCUCUUCUGUCUGCGACUUCGCAAUCAUAUCAUCCACGUACACUUCGAUCUCUUUGUGCAUCAUGUCAUGAAAGAGAGUCGUCAUAGCCCUCUGAUAGGUAGCACCAGAAUUCUUUAGCCCAAAUGGCAUCACCUUAUAGCAGAACGUGCCCCAAGGUGUAAUGAAUGUCGUCUUUUCCAUGUCUUCUGGCGCCAUCUUAAUCUGAUUAUAACCAGAAAAACCGUCCAUGAAAGAGAAAACCGAAUGUCGUCUUUUCCAUGUCUUCUGGCGCCAUCUUAAUCUGAUUAUAACCAGAAAAACCGUCCAUGAAAGAGAAAACCGAGGAUUGAGCCGUAUUAUCAACCAAUACAUCAAUGUGAGGUAAUGGGAAGUCGUCUUUCGGACUCGCUCUGUUCAAAUCCCGGUAAUCGACACACAUCCUGACUUUGCCGUCCUUCUUCGGCACGGGAACGAUGUUGGCCACCCACGGGGGAUAAGUAGUCACUGACAGAAAACCUGCAUCCAACUGUUUCUGAACCUCUUCCUUGAUCUUGACAGCCAUAUCAGGGCUAGUUCUAUGAAGCUUCUGCUUGACUGAAGGCCAAUCUUCUCUGAGAGGUAAUCUAUGCACCACAAUAUCUGUAUCCAACCCAGGCAUAUCUUGAUACGACCAGGCGAAUAUCUCCACGUACUCUCUCAGCAUCUCAAUCAACCUGUUCUUGACAUCUUCCUUUAAAGCAGCCCCGAUCUUGAUCUCUUUUCUGGCGUCCUCAGUACCCAGGUUAAUGAUUUCCAACUCCUCCUGAUGAGGUUGGAUGACCCUCUCCUCCUGCUUCAACAAUCUGACCAAUUCUUUAGGGAGUUCACAGUCUUCCUCACUCUCCUCUUCAGCUAGGUAGAUGGGAUUAUUGAAAUCAUACUGAGCCAUAACAAAACUGUUCAUAGUGGAGUUCGUAAGAUCGAUUCUGCAUGUUUAAUGCUUUGUUUUAGAAAAAGAGUUCAAGAAAGUCACAAAAACAAAAACAUUGCCAUUUUUAUUGUUUUGAAAAAUGAAAAACAGAAAGAUAGGGAUCACAAAAUUGUUUGCAAAACGUCCUUUAUUAAUGAUAUCAUUGAAAAAACAUGAUGAGGCCCUACAAUGAACCACUACGCCUUGGGCAGAACGUAGGGUUUUGUGCAAAAUGAAAAAGAAAAGAAAAUUACUCUGUUUGAAGAGUAACUUGGACCACAUCUUCUGCUGUCCAAUUAUUGAUCGUCUCCCCUGGUGCACACGGGCGAACCCAGUUGUCCAGAUCACAAUCGCUGUCACAGUCUUCACCACCGGUUGCAAAGACGUCACCAUGAUUCAUCAGCCCAGCACUGGUAAAGGUACUCGGCCCUUUCUGCUCAAUCUGCUCCGCCUGCAGAGGUUGAUAACCAAUAACGAACUUGUCUUCAUUUGACGGGCAGGUCCACCAUCUUGCCCCAGCCUUCUGCAUUGCCCGAGCUGACAACCUCCAUAGCCUGCUUGUAUGAUGCAAUUGAGGCACUUGGCUUCUUCUGCUCAGCAAAAGCCACCCUCUCAAGAGCAACGGUCUCGAAUGCCUGGCAUAGAGUUUCAUGGAUCUCGCCAUCCACCUCUACAUACUUGAAAGAGGAUAGGUGACUCACCAGAAUGUCCUUUUCACCACACACAGUCACAAUCUGACCGUUCCAGACAUACUUCAGCUUUUGGUGGAGAGUUGACGAAACUGCCCCAGCCCCAUGGAUCCAGGGACGUCCCAAUAAAUAACUAUAUGCUGGCUGAAUAUCCAUCACAUAGAAGACAAUACUGAACACCUCCGGGCCAAUCUUCACCGGCAACGUGACUUCACCAAAAACAGACCGUUUGGAUCCAUCAAAUGCACGAACGAUAAGAUCACUCGGAGUAAGGACAACCCCUUCCACAUCUAUCUUGCUCAGAAUCUUCUUGGGCAACACAUUCAAAGACGAGCCAGUAUCCACCAACACAUGUGACAAUACUGCGCCUUUGCACUCCAUAGUGAUAUGCAGGGCCUUGUUAUGAUUGCGGCCUUCAGGCGUCAGAUCCAAAUCUGUGAACCCCAUACCGUGCCUGGUGCUCACAUUAGCAAUAACCCCUUCCAAUUGGUUGACAGAGAUCUCUGGAGGCACGUAAGCCAGAUUCAGCAUCUUCAGCAAGGCAUUACGGUGUGCCUCAGAGCACAAUAGCAAUGAGAGUAUGGAAAUCUUGGACGGAGUCUGAUUCAGCUGAUUUACAAUCUUAUAGUCACUCUUCUUUAUAAUCUUCAUGAACUCCUCCACGUCUUUCUCAAACGACCCCUUAGGCGCCUCCUUCUGAACAGGUUCUUCAUCAACCACGGCUUGCUUACCCUUAGCUUUGGCGAGUGCCUCAGCAUUGUUAUCUCUCAACGGCUGUGGUGCAAACAGACGACCACUCCUUGUGAAAUCUCCUGGUCCCCCAACAUUAUCCACAACUGGACCCACAGUCACAGGAGCUCUAGGUGGCAUUCCAAUCGUUACAGGAGCUUGAUUAACUGGCCCGACCUGACUUUCUGCCCUUCGGUUGCUGCGAUAAGCAUUAUCAUACUUCCACGGCACAGCCUUACUAUUCUCAACAGCCCUUCUGCCCGAAGCAACGAUAGUAGUGGGAGCACUGACAGUUACUGGAGCAGAAAUGGUAACUAAAGUACCAACAGUUGUGGGUGCACUGACAGUUCUCUGGCCACGUCCCUCAGACGGUUUGAAAUAAAUGGUGACAGUUGACACCACCCCACGAUCCUUCACGGACCGACUAAACUGCAGAUAGCCCUCAUCCAUCAAACCCUGGAUACUAGUCUUCAACUUGUCACAACCAUUUGCUGAAUCUUCACAGUCUGAAUAACCCUGAUCACAGCCCGGGAACACUCCCCCAUUCAGCAGACGAUCCUUCACAACAAACAACGGGGUCUGAAUCUCAUCAAUACUGACCACCAAGUCUUCAGCUUCCCCACCUUCCACAUUGUUCACCCUAUGCGCACCAUGCUGAGGCAUAGGAUUGUUCACAACAUUCGGCACAGGAGCAAAAUUGAUUGUUUUGGCGUCAAUUAAGUCCUGGACCUUAUGAUGGAAAGCCCGACAAUUUUCAAUAUGGUGCCCCGGUGCACCAGAGUGGAAAUCACAACGAACGUUGGCAUCAUACCCAGGUGGUAUCUUUGUCAACGGAGCCAUCGUACGCAACUCAACAAACCCAAAUCUGAGCAAUUCGGGCAGCAAUUCAGCGUAUGUCAUCGGCAACGGGUCGAAACGUCGAUCCGACAUUCUCUGUCUAAGCUGAUACGGACGUUGCUGUUGUUGUUGUGGCGGUUGUUGAACUCUCUGUUGUUGCUGAGGUUGACGUGGUUGAGGUGCCGAAAUGGUUACAGCAGCAACCUGGCGAUAUUGCUCUCUGUUCACACUUCUUCUGUGUUGCACAACAUUGGUCUCACCCUCCCUCCUACGGGGCCCCCCAGAAAACGGCUUCUUUGAAGAUGAGGAACCAGCAUCCUGAAUCUUCCCAGCUUUGAUAAGGCUCUCUGUUCUCUCCCCACAAGUUACAGCAUCAGAGAAGCUACCGAAUGGGCAACUCCCCAUCCGGUCCAUGAAUACACCUUGUAAUGUCUCGAUAAACAUAUCAGUCAACUCCCUUUCCAGCAUAGGGGGUUGCACCCUCGCGGCUAACUCACGCCAUCUCUGGGCGUACUCCUUGAAACUCUCUCCAGAUUUCUGACAUAGGCUCUGCAACUGAGUCCGACUCGGCGCCAUGUCCAUAUUAUGUUUGUAUUGCCUCAAGAAGGCUUCACCCAGAUCUCUCCAACUUCUGAUGGAUUCUCUUUUCAGCUCCAUGUACCAAUCCAAGGAAGCUCCAGACAAGCUAUCCUGGAAGAAGUACAUCCACAUUUUCUCAUCGUCUGUAUAGGCAGAGAUCUUUCUGUAAUAUGCUUGCACAUGGGUGCAAGGACAAGAAGUACCGUUGUAUUUGUCAAAAGAAGGCGCCUUGAACUUGUAAGGAAUCCCCAAUCCUUCCACUAGACCCAUAUUAGUGACAUCAAACCCCAAAGAGUUCUGACACUCCAUGGCUCUGAUCUUCUCAGCUAGGGCAUCAACCUUUCGAUCCCUCUCUUCGACUCUUACAACCUUAUCAUCUUCACUGAGCAGGGUAAACAUGUCUUCCUGCCUGUCAACCAACGGAGCAGGAUGGCGAACGGGAGCACGGGUUGCUCUGACAUUAACAGUCUCUGCAGCAAGAGGCUGUCCAUUAAUCCUGAUACCUCUCAACUCAUCUCCCACAGCAUAAUCAUUGACGGGAGCAGCAGCAAUAACACCAUCAUUCACAAGAACACCCACUGGCGAAGCACGACUAGGAGGUGGUAGUACAGCUUCUUGUCUCUGGGCUAAGGCACGCAGCUCCUCUUGCCCUUGAACGACCCCUUGCAUCAUUGUCAUGAACUGGGCCAUGUUAGCCCUCAUCUCAGCCAACUCAGCUUGCACUUGGUCCAUAUUUCUCUGUUGAUUCAACCUCGUUGAGUAGCGGUGCGGACGUUAAUCAGCUAUCCUGCCUGACACAGGAACCAGAGUGAGAAGUCUCGAUCAAGAACACCUGUAAUGCAAAAUGAUAUGUGUAUGAUGUUUAUGAUGCGUAUGAUGCACAUGAUAUGUUCAUUUCUCAGGCAUUCAAGAGCCCAAUUCAUCUUUCAAGAAAUGGCAACCUGCAACAAGAACAACACAGAAGCAACAUACACAAUAUAAUGAGCACAAGGUGAAACAUCAACACCCUCAUCUAUAGACAUGAGCAACAAGGACCAUAUAACAAUAUUCAGAUAAAAAUCCAAAUGAUCAGAGUACCACAAUGAAUCCCAUCCAACAAGCCUGGAGGUGAUUCUCAACAUAAACAACAGAGAUACAAGCUAAGACAAAUGGCUUCCAGGAAUGAGAGUCUUCAGAUACUGGCACUGGUCUAUCAACAGGUCACAUUCUGAACAUUCUAAACAUUCUGGCAGAGGGGUGAUCCCCAGUUGAGUCACCAGCUGUCGCAUUACGCGAAAAACCGACGGGAAAACGAAACGACAGAGCCGCCACCGUGCGUUAUUUAUCCCAAAGGAGGGAAAGGAAACGCUCGAAGUAAACCUGGAAAAGACAUGGUCUCGCGACCAGAGAAAGAUGGGAUCGGGAGUCGGUUAUGCGAAGGGAAGGUAUUAGCACCCCUACGCAUCCGUCGUACUCGACGGGAUCCACGCUCAGAAAGAAAAGAAGAAAGGUUGCUAAAACUGCUCACAAACUGCACAAGGCUGGAAGGAAACACCGAAAGACAAAAGAAACGGGACUCGGCAGGAUAUCGCAUCCUGGGCCUACAUAGUCUGUCAGACACAGACAUCAGAGUCGACUUAGUUUGGGAACAGGGGAAACGUGCUCGCUAGGAUGUCGCAUCCUAUGCAUACGUAUCUUCUCUAACCAGAGAAAGAAUCAGAGCACCCGUAGCUCGGCUAACGCACGCCGAAACAAAACCCACACAGGAAACCGACUGCCAAUCGCUGGACUUACGUCAGACUCCACACAAACGGGCAAACAUGGAAACCGAAGGCCAAUCGCUGGACUUACAUCAGACUCCGAACCAACAAACACACACAGGAAACCAACUGCCAAUCGCUGGACUUACGUCAGACUCCAAACACAACACAAAGGGGUUGAAAAAUAAAAAGGGCGCCCGGAGAGAUCAGCUCAUCUCCUGCCUACGUACCUCAUCUGGUAUGAGGAUCAGGGAGACGUAGUUCCCCUAAACAGGGAAAGAACUUCUAACCUAACCAGAUACAAAGAGAGACACAAACUACUAGGGAGACUACGACUCGAGCCUAGAAGUUGUCAUGCAUACGGUCCCUAUGUUAAGGUUUCUAUCUAACUUGCACAGGAAGCAAGCUAUCCUAACACAGCACAAUCAAUCAAAAGCACAAAAAGCAAGCACACACACUAUAUGCAAACAGAUGGGCUCAUACAAGGCUAGGCUUUAGUCAAGGGGUCAUGUCAACCUCAACAAACAAACCACUGGAAUUGGGUAUGAUUAGCUCUUAACCCUAACAUUGAGAGUUAGGGUGAAGCAGAUGAAAGGGAGAUGAGGGUAAGACCUCACAGCUCUUAUCCCUAGCCUGGGAGAGCUUGACUCAAAGUAGAAAGUGUGGGAGUUUAGAAUGUAGGAACUCUUCUCCACAAAUGACUGACACAACAUGAUCUUGGGUUAUUAUCAACAAUGCAUCAACCCAAGGUGUGUGAGCAAAGUGAAUGACACAACUGAAUAGCAGGGGAUGGAUUGCACAUCCCUUUUAUCUGCCAAUUGCCUCUUAAGAGGUCUUUACCUGCUUGGCACAAAAUCAAACAAACACAAGCAUUGCCUCUUAAGGAGGGCUUCAGACAGGUGCCUGCCCACAUAACAGGACAGGUCUUCCAGACUACAUAAAGUCAGAGAGUUAUACCUAAGUGGUAAGCAAACCACAAGCCAAGCUAGGCAACUCAAGCAAUAAGUUAAAGCUACUAAAGUACAUGUGCAAACAACCAGACAAUCAGUACACAGUUCAAACAAACAGACAACAGUCAUCAGGCAAUAAUAAACAGACAAAGCAAUCAGGCAACAAUGAGCAAGGCACAAGCACAAGGGGAUUUGUUCGAAAAACCUACAAAACAACACAAUGUUAGCCAACAUCAACCAAUUAAUCAAACUCAAAUGAAUGAGCCACUCCAAUCAUGGCAAUGUGCAUCUGAACCUGAAAUCCACAAUCCAAACAGUGAGUCCAAACCACUAGGUCAAAGCCUAGGGUCAAAAGAGGGUCAAACAUUCAAAACAGAACAUGAAAUUUAACAUGAAUCAUCCUUAUUCAAUCAAGAACAAAUCUCAAAAAGUCACACAUCAAAAUCAUUAAGCAUAUUCAUUUCAUGAGCAAAACAUGGCAAGGCAUGCAAAUGGUGAUCACAUUGAGACAUCAGAAGAAACAAAUGCACAUUAAAUCAAAAAUGACUCAAAUAAUCUUGGCAAAAUUCAUGAGUGAACAGGACAUACAACAUGAUCAUCACACAAAAAAUUAGAGGCAUUGGACAUCAUUAGGCAUGGCAAUCACAUAGCAUAAUCAAGACAAUCACAUGUGUGACACAAACUGUCACACCAAGUUAGCAUGAGUAUAAAACAGAAUGGGAGCAUGGGAAAAAUCUCAAACCAAAGCCAAAGUGUCACUCAACAUGUCUAGAAUCCACACACAAAAUUUCAGAAGCAUUGGAUAAGAAACAAGCAUUUUAUGAUCAAAUGAAUAAGGCAAUAUCAUGAAUGGAUACAUGUUCAAACACCCUAGGACAAAUCAAGUUUUUAACCAAGCACAACUUGCAAUUCAAUAAUCAUAAAAAACUAGACAAGAUAAGGAACACAAUGGAAAAAAUUUGAGAUCAAUUGGAGCAUUUUUCAUUUUUAUAUGAUUUUUUGAAGUGGAUGAAAGAUUUGAAAAUGAAAAUGGAGCCAAAGUAUGAAAUGUGGAGGGAAAAGGAAUAGUGCAUGGCAAUUUGAUAAAGUCCUCUCGCCCGGAUUCGAACUUGGCACAAAUUCAAACCUGGCGCGCGCCUAAAACGACUGUGUUUUGCUUCUAAAACCCUAAGCGCGUCAGGAAACCGUUGUUGUAUCAUGGAAAACCGUGGCCUAAACAAUAUUCGUAGCUAAUUCCAAAAGCUCGUAGCUAAAUCCUAGUAAGUUCGUAGCAAAACCUGGGAAUUGCAUGGUGUUCAUAUGGAACGAUGAAGAUCAUGAAGAUCUUCAUCUGGAUUUUCCAGAAAUCACAAAAAAUGUCCAGAAAUGAAAAAUAAGCAUAGCAAUCGAUUCAUCUUUCCACAUACAUCAAGGAUCCAUGAUUAAUUUGCUUUAAAACACCAUAACAAAGCCAAAUCGAAGGAAAUCAAAAUCAACAUCAAAACUUCAAUUGAACAUAACUCCAUGGAUAUAGCAUCAUUUCACUCGAUUUUUUCACCAGUAUCAUCACCAUUCAAGGAUCUACAAGAACAUCAUAACAAUUUGCAAAAUAAAAGAGGUCGAAUUCUAACCUGUUGAAGAACAGCAACUGGAAUUGGCUCGUUUCAAGGUUUGUGAAGGUCCAGGAAUCUUUUAUGAUGCUUGUGGAUGUGAUUGGUGAUGAAUUAGAAGCUCAAAUGCACACGAAUUCAGUUCAAUUUUCCAAUGCCAUGGAUGCUUCAAGCUUUGAAUCUAUCUCAAUAUGCCACGAGUUUCUCUGAAUCCACGUCCAAUUCUACUCAACAACACCUCAGGAACAUGAAUCAACCAAUAGAAAGUGCUUUUGUUUGAAGAAAUUUGGAAAAAGUUUGAGAGAAAUUUUUGAUGAUUUUCUUGAAUCCAGAUUUGAAAUGUUGCUAAUGAUCAAAAACAGUUAUGAUUAAGUAUAUAUACUUCCUACUAAUCAUGUUUAAAACCAACUUAAGCCUAAUGCCAAUGUGAUUAGUAAGUUGGAAGGUGUUUGUGCAAAAAUGAGUUUUUCACUUCAUGCACCCCAUGCACGUGAACAGUGUCAAUUCAAGGCCCAAAUCCACUAAAAAUGAGUUCAUGCAAGGUUGUGAAUUGGUUUGGUAUGCAUAUGUUCCACAAAAUGAAUUUUAUGCAAUUUCCUUCAAAAAUCUUCAUGAGUGAACCAAAGACCAUGCAAAUGAAAUUCAUGUCAAGUAAUGGUAUGCUUGGAAAGUACAUGUUAUAAGGAUAAAAAUGCAAAAAGAACCACUCAUUUUGGAGUUUUGGUUUGAAAGUUAUGCUCAUUUGAACUUUGAAACACACUUUGCCAUGAUUGGAUCAUAACUCCUCAACCACACAUGAGAAAUUCAUGAUCUUGGACUUUUUGGAAACGGGGGAGAAAGAUCUUCAACUUUCAUGUUGGAAAAAAUUUCAUUUGAAGCUUUCUUGAUGAUGUAAUCUUGAGUUGAAGUUGGUCUAAAACCUUUCCAUUUUUGGAAAGUUCAAAUUACAGGUCACCUGCUAUUUUUGGAAAGUCUUGACCUGACUUCAAAUUCUUCAGUGUUGAUGUUUGAAAUGUCAAAUGAGACUUGUUUAAACAUGAAUGAGUCAUCUCUAACCACUUCCCACCUUCAAAUCCACAGUUGACUUUGCAGUUGACUUCUGUUGACUUUUGUUGGCCUCAGAUGAUUUGCACAUGGACUGAUGAGCUCUGAGCUUUCAACACUUGGCCAAUAUUGCUUCAAAGUGAUCCUUGGGUCACAUGAACUCAUUGUACCAACCCUAGGGCUUUGAUCUCAUUGAAAAUGCUCUUGUUGCCUUGCACAGUGGAAUCUCCUGACCAGUCUUGCCUGAUACAAUGUAAUGGACUAUGCAAUGCUAAUGCAAUGUUAAGGUGAUGUUAAUGACCUAAAAAUGAAAUGUAUAUACAAAUGGGAGGUGCAAAUUUGAGGUGCUACACAUUUUGACGUGAAAUAAACAAAGGUUUUAAAUUCCAAGAGCAAGCAACAAGCAAAGAUUUAAUCACUUAAAAUGUCUAAAUCAAAACUCUUUGAAAGCAAUCAACCAACACGUAGUUUUCUAUGCAGCACUAUGUAGCUUUGAAUUCCUCAUUGGAUCUGAGGGUACGUAGGAACGAGACCCACAAUCUCGUCAAGCACCAUAAUAAACACAUUUUUGUAACCAUUUUAUUUUCCUUUUGCAUAUUUUAUCUUUAAAAAAAACAAUUAACACAACUAACAUUCAACCACAAGUUUAGCUAAAAGGUUCCCGUUGAGUAUAAGAGAUGUGAUGAGUGCUAAUACAUUCCCCUUGUGUAAUCGACUCCUGAAUCCAAAUUUGGCUGCGACAACCAUUUCAUUCUUCUUUUAAAGGGUUUUUCCGUGAAACAUUUUUCUGUGAGCGUGCGAACUCUUCGUUAAGGAACGUAUUUUUCGAGAUGCGAGUGUUGGUGACUCUGCUGGGGAAUAUGCUUUGAGGAAAAGAAAUCCAAGCCUAAUUUGAUUAAAUUUGUGAUUAAUUUGUUAACUUUUCUAAUGGUUUACUUAUACUUGCAUUAUUUUAUUAUGUGUUAUAACUGUGGUGCAUUGGUACUAUUAAGGAUCUUUGAUUAUUGGUACUUUGUGAGAUAGGAUUUCUACCCGAGUCUAAGGAAAACCAUAAGAUUAAGAUGGUGAUUAUGCAGUAUUGGUAUGCGAGGUUCAUUCCUACUUUGGGACGAUACGAAGACCCCACAUAGGGUAGACUCUCUUUGAGAUGUUAUUGCUUAACGAGCCUUCGUCAUGUCGAUAAUGUUUUCAAGUUGGAUCUAUAACUAUAUGGAUCUCUUUAGAACCUCGAAGUUGAUGGUUGUAUAGUGUUGGCAUGUGAGGUAUCUUUCUCGCUAGGACUAUAUGAAAACCUCACCUAAAAGAGAUCGUCUUAAGGGUAUUAUUAUACAACGAGCCUUCGUCAUGGCGGUAAUCUUCCCAAGAAAGAUCCAUGACUUUAGGAAUCUACCAACCGUAAAGCCUAUCUAUGGGGUUUCUAUAAUUAGUGAUACCAAUUAUUUACCGAUUAUUCUGACCAACAUGGGAACUAAAUUAUACAUGUGAUCCUGAAACCACGCAUACGCGUUGCACAAUCAUAAACAUAACAUUUUAGUUUUAUUUCCAUGGAAUAUGAGAAUCACAGUUGUAGUCAUUCAGAAAGUAUGGGAUACGGAAAAAUGAAGCAUGUACUCAUACAAAUUCAAAGAUCCUCAGUUGGCCAAUCUGCAUUAGUUGGUUUCCCGGCUCCAUCCGAUAUACAAAAUCAACUUUGGGAAAAACUAUGGAAAUUUGCUUGGUCUCUUAUGUCAAAAGAUGGACCCCUUAUCCCUUUUGACUUUGGCUUAGUUUUAUGAUCCUCCUAUGAGAUUUUUCACAUUCCAAGAUUUUCAUAUAGCAUCCAUGUUGGAAGAGUUUGAACAUAUUGUUGGCAUUCAUAUGAAGAAAAAUUCGUCGUUUUUAGGUGUAGAAGAGUCUCUACAGAAUGAGGUCAUAAUUUAUGCUCUUCACAUGCAUAAGAGGGAUAUUACUUCUAAUUUGGAAGUCAAAGGAAAUACUAAUGGAUUAUCUCUCAAAUUCAUAAUAUAGAAAGAAUCCACCUUUAUGAAUGCUCAGAGUUGGGAGGCUUACUAUGUCGUGAUUGCAUUGGCUAUCUAUGAAAUCAUUCCAUUCCCAAACUUGGACAAUUUUGUAGACAUGACUUCCAUUAGCAUCUUCCUCAUGGAGAAUCCAAUUCCUAACAUGUUAGCUAAUGUGUAUUAUUACCUCAGUUGGAGGCAUGAGAAGAAGGGAGGAAUGGUUUAUUGAUGUGUUUCAUUGAUGUAUCAGUCGUUGCUAACUCACCUUCUAAAGAAUGGGACCUUUUAUGGAGAAAAGCACGUGAGUUUACCUAAAAGGACGGGAUCACUCAGAGCAAGUGAUAUCACUUGGUACUCCAAAGAGUAUGUUGGCAUAAAUAUUGUAUUCAGUUAUGGGGAGUUCCCCAACAUACCACUUAUUGGGACUCGAGGGCACAUUAAUGCUAAUCUAGUCAUAUCCUUAAGACAACUUGGAUACCCAAUUGAGGGUCCUCCUGAUGAGAGAUUAUUGGAAGCCUUCUUGUUACGUGACCUUUGGGUUGGGGGUCCUGUGUUAUCCAAAAGAGUUAAAAAGGGAUGGGAGACAAUCGUCAAGAAACGAAGGGUUAAUUUGGGAAGGAAGAAUUGUAUCACCAAAGAACCUUAUCUUCAAUGGAUAAGGGAAAUGGUGAAAUUGAUCAAAAUGCCCUUCAGUGUUAAAAUACAUGUUCCUCCCCUAGAGCCUAAUCUUACUCAUAUCCCUAUUGAGGAGACAGAAGAACUUAUAGCUACCAUAGUCAGGCUCACCAAGGAGAGUGAAGAGCUACACCAAAAACUUUGCAACAUCUCCAUAGAAAAGGAUGAGCUCAAGUUUAGUCUUGGAAAAAGAGGAAAAUAACUUGGUGAGAGUCAGGGGACUCCCUAAAAAGAAAGAGGAAAUAGGCAUAAGGUUAAGGAUGACUUAGACUCAUUGGCCAUCGAGCUUAGUCAAAGAAACGAAGAACUCUGAAGAGUUAUCAAAGCUAACAAGGAAUGGAAUGUUUGGUGGGAUAAAGCCUCUGAGCAAAGGAGGAGGAUGAAGGAAGCCUUCAAGGCUAAAAUUAAACACCUAUCCCAACAACUAUAAGAAGCCCAAGCUCGCAUACUGCAAGAAACUCAACAUUGACAAGAAAUUAAGAUGGCCUACCAAAGUUCUCAUGGACUUGAUGAAUAACUGCAUGAACUUAGGCUCACUGCCCAAUGCAUAAGAAAGUCCAGGGAGGAACUAAAGAAGCAUUGGGAAUCCAAAUUUGAUGAAAAGGUGGAAGAACUGAAACAAGAGGAAACAUUCUCCCUCCAUGCACGAGUCACACCAGGCAAAUGGUUCAUGAAAUGCGAGGAAGUUGUCAAGCUUGCCAAUCACUUGAUACACAUUUUCCCUCUAAGGAUAAUUGAUGCUUUUGAGGAAAUGACUUAUGAGAACACACCGCCUACAGUCUUCAACUUUAUUCUCCUUUGCAAAUACAUGGUUAAGUACCUCAAGAAAAAGUUGGCUCACUUGAAGAAAGUUCGAGGAACGGCCAAGUGAAAGGAUAAAUUUACAUAUUUAUUACCUUAUUUUGUAAUCAUCAAAUGUACUUGAUUAUGAAUGAAUGAAUGUUUGAGUUUACUUAGAAGUUGUUUAUCUUUAUAUCUCGCUCUUACACUUUUGAAUGCCUAAACGACUAAUCCAAAGAUUCCCUACAACUAAAAAAACAAAAGAGAGCACAUGCAUCACAUUUCAUCAGCAUGCAUAUCAUUUUCCCAAAAACACAAAAACUAAUCCUCUCUCCUCGUCUUUAGAAAAAAGUUGUUUAUCCGACAUUAGUAUGCCACACCCGCCAAUACUAGAAGAGUAAUGGAUCCAGUUCAAUAAGAGCAAGCUGUUAUGCGAGAGGAGAUUAACUUCAUCAAAGACAAAGUUGAUCAAAUUCUAGAAACCAUGAUGGCUCUGGCCAUAAUGGAAUAAGAGCUUUGUAAUGUCGUCACUACAAGGAAUGAGGUUCAUGUUCAAGGAUCUACUUCAAGACCCGCAGUUCCCAUUCCUGUGAUUUUUAUUCUUUUGGUUUAUUUUAUUAUUUAUUUUAUUACUUUUUUUAAAAUUAAUUUAACUAUUUAAAUUUGUAGUAAUUAAAUAAUUAAAUGUUUAUUUGAUUAAUUGAUUAGGUUUUAAUUAAUUAUUUUUUUAUCUUGUUAAGUAAAUUAUAAGAUUAUUUGUUUUGUUUUGUCAUAAUUAGGUAUUUGUUUUCAAUGUUUCAUAUUAUUCAUGUAAAUAAUCAUACUAACAUUUCACACAAUUUCAAUUUCAAACCAUUUUCACACUAACUUCACUAAUAUUUAAUUCAAUUUCACUAAUAUUUCACCAUCGAUUAAAUACCUUCAAAUUAUUUUCAAAACCAUUUUCAAAACCAUUUUCAACUAGGUUCAAACUAUUUUCAAAACCAUUUUCAAUUUCAAUUUCGAACCUUUUCUUUUACUAAGACAAGCAAACCUCGAUCGACAUCAAGUAACUUUUCCUAAAUAACACUUAUUAUCAAAUCAUUUCUCUUAAACAAAUACGAAAGAACAGGACUGUUAGAAUCUAACAUUCUAGCAAAACCCUCGAAUGAUUGGUCUUGAGGCACAAGUUUUGGGAUAACCACUUAUUCUUUUUUUCACACCUAAAACACUUAAUAAACGUGGACUAAAAAGGACAUUUGGAAUAUAACAUUCUGAUGGAACCCUUGAACAAUUGAUUCUAAGGCAUGUGUCUUGUUCUUAUCAAACGUUCGUUGUCCAUUGAACAAUUUUCUUAAAUACCUAAAAUAAAAAAGGACCGUUGAAAUCUAACAGCAUGGUAGAACCCCAAAUAAUUGAUCCCGAGGCUUAUGUCUCGUUCUCAUCAAGCGUCGUAAUUCACCUAAAAUACACUUAACCAAUCAAACUCGUUUUCUCGCCUCCGUGCGAUAUUCAAAAAAACAUUUUCACAAACGAAGAUAUUUUGUCUCAGGACAGUGAUAGACAAUGCCUCAUCCAUAAAUCGUGCGAGUUGAGAUAAAUGAUAUUUUUCUGUGUGAAUGAUGAUUUGUAAAUCCAUUCAAUAUGUGAUGCAAACGUCUGCUCCUCACCUGUUUUGGGUAAGUAAUGUUUUCCAUCAAUUGACACGAAAUAAUUUUCGCAAAAAUCUACCAACAAACAAACAUUUUCUACCUAUAACUACGUAAGCCUUGAGUUCUCCAUCGCACCCAGAGACACGUAUGAGCGAGAUUCAAAGUCUCGUCAGACAUUCUAAUAAAAAAAAACUUUUUUUCAUUUUUUCUUUUCCCUUUUAAUAACUCAAGAAGCCUAACAUUUCUAAGCUAACACUAACGUGCACAACUAAUCAAACGUUUUUCGUUAAGUACAAUAGACGUCAAGGGUGCAAAAAUCUUCCCCUUGCGUAAUUGACUCUCGAACCCUAAUUAGGUUGCGCCGGUCAAUAUCAUAUGUCAGUGACGACUCUAUUAAAUCUAUCCCGCGAGCAUGUGAUUCGCUUGACGAGGUCGUGUUCUUAUUUUUCGAGGUACGUCGAUCUGCAUAUAAAGUGUGGGGUGAAACUUGAACACUUCUAGUCCUUUUCAUAGGCAGUACCUUAGAUUCCUCAACCAGAUUUGGCGGGGCCUUACUAAAAACAUCCUUAGCCAAGCAAAAGACGAUUUGAGAUAAGGGAUCACCUUGUCUCACUCAUCUUUGUCAUUGAAAAAAGCCAUGCAUUUUUCCAUCGAUUGAAACAGAAAGAUAAGUAGAUUGGAGAAUUUUGUGAAUUCAAAGACAAAAUUUAUAGCAAAAACCAAAUAUCUUAAGACCCUAAAGAAGAAACUUCCAACUUAAGGUAUAUAAAGCCUUGCAUGUGUGUAUUUUAAGAGAAAUAUCUCCACCAUAACACUUCCUACUGAGAGUAUUGACUGCCUAGUGAGACAUAUACCAUCCCUUACGUUUCUGCCCUUAUGAAGCCUUUUUGCUCAAGAGAGAUGAUAUGUGGCAUGACUGAUGCCAAUUGUCAACAAUGAUUUGGGUGAUGAUUUUGGUCUUAUAGUCUCCUAGAGUAACAGGUCUAAAACGGAUAAUGGAGCUAGCACUAUGUGUUUUAGGAAUCAAAAGUAUAUAAUUUAAAUUAUAGUAAGACAUAAUCCAAUCUUGAAUAAAGAAUUGAGAUAUAAAUCUAAUGACAUCAUGCUUGAUGAUAUCCCAAAAGGUUUGACAAAAAAAUCCUUCAAAGCCAUUAGGGUCAGGAGCACUUUUCUUGUACAUUCUAAACAUGACACCCUUUAUUUCCUCAACAAUUUGAAUACUAGUAAAGAGAUGGUUGGUAUCCUCAUUAACCAAAAAGGGAAUGAUUUCCUCAAUCAUACCAUUAUUCACUAAUUCAUUAUUGUUAUUGUAAAGGUGUGUAAAGUAUCAAGUGACAUGCUCACUCUUGAAAUCUUCGUUAGUGAUAACCUCAUUGUUAUGAUGAAUGGCAGAAAAAGGUUUAGAGACAACUUUUAUCUUGGCAUAUACAGGUCUCCUUUAAAAGCCCAAUACACUCUAGAUUUCUCCUUCCAAAAUGCUUCUUCAAGACUGAAAGAAAAAAACACAUUAUUGUGCAAUAUUUUCCUACUCCAGCCUGAAGAACUUCAUCAUGACCAAUACUAGCAGACCUGAUCUAAAUUCUGUUAAGGUUUUAUUUUGCAGUUCUGACUUUUUCUUGAAUGUUACAAAAAGAGGACAUGUUCCACUCCUUUAAGUUAUUUUUUAGGGGCUUGAACUUCUAUCUAGAAUUAACAUGGGGAAGCCAACCACUAUGGUCUCCCAAGUCUUAGCAACAAUGUUUAUAAUCGAAAUUGAGCAUAAUGGGGAUAGUGGUCAGAACAAUUCUUGGUGAUACUGGAGCAAGACAAGACAAGACAAUCCAGGCUUGAUUUUCAAUAGCUCAAUCCAAACCAUUUUAAGGUUUUCUUUUACCCUCUCUACCAUGGGAGCAGGUGAGAUGAUGAUAUUUAAUGGAGAAAGUGUAUUAGCGGUUAAGGUUUGUCCAAUUAUAAAAGUCUUCCAUGCAGAUACUAGAAGGUCACAAAUGAGGCGAGGCACGGCACCAAGGCAUGUUUGAGUUUAAAAGGUUACAAAUUAUUCCAAAGAUCCCUUCUUUAAAUAUAAUCGGUUGAGGCAUAUAUUAUUACGAUCCAAAAUCUUCUGUUGUUAUCCAUCAUCACACAAGAAUUAAAUUGAGACACAUAGGCGCGGCCCACCAUAAACAUGAUAUCAUUCCUAAUUAAUUAUUAUUUUACUAAAAUAAUUUUUAAUUUAAUAUUUGAAUUUUAAAUUUUUCCAAAAAUUAAUUAUACUAAAUUAUUUAAUUCUCUAAUGCCUAAUUAAUUCUUAAAUAAAUAAUUCUAAAAAAUUGAUACAUUAAAAUAUAUUAUAAAAUUAAAGUAACAAAAUUAUUAUAAUAAUUAGUCUAAUUUUUGAUUAAAUUUUAAAAUCAACUAAAAUCAUUUAAUCAUAAUAAAGUUAUAAAAAAAACACAAUUUGAAUUGAGGACCAACUUUUUACUUAAUAAAGACGAAAAAAAAGGUAAAAAUAAGUGAUAUUUACAUUUGUUACAUGCUGAUAAAAAAAAUCACACAAAUCAUAAAAGACGAUAUCAAAAUAAUUUGAUAAAGAGAAAUUAAAAAUGGAAAUAUUAAAAGCCAUCAUCAAAAAUACAUUCAUUCUUAAUUAUUUAUUCAUUAAAGCCAAAUUUUAAAUAUUAAAAGCCAUCAAAAAUUGAAAUCUAAAUUAUAGAUAAAUUAAAAUUAAUAUAAACAAAUUUAUUUUAAAAAAGUGGUAAUAUUUAAUAUUUAAUUGUUGAGCAAAUGUUAAAUAUGAUCAAGAGGUCUCAGGUCAUUUAAUUGUAAAUACAUCAUAAUCUAGAUAAUCAGCCAAUGUAGGCAAAUGAAAGACAUCACUGACCUCACAUAAAUCAAAGUUGAAUUAACUAAAUAAUUCCUAGAAAAAAAUAAUUGAAUUUUGAUGAACAUAAAGUAUGAGAUUUAUUUUAGGGAAAAAAAUUCACUCAGUGGUGGCUAGAUAAAUUAAGGUUCGAUUCUGCCUGCAAAUAUCCUCAACAUGAAAUCAGAAGAGGGAGCUUUGUAUCCUCAUCGUGAAAUUUUUUUUCCCAAAAAAUCAAAAACAGAGAAAAUAAAAAAUGAAAAAGAUCACUCAGUUCAGCGGGGUUUUCGACACGCAAAGCAAACUCAUAGAGAAAGCACUGCAUUCCGGUCUGUUGAGCUUGAAUUUCAUGGAGUCAUCACUGUGAUCUCUAUUAUUUCAUAAUAACAUUCAAAAUUCAACAAGAAAAAUCGAAUCCAAGGCAAGAAAAACAUACAAAAAUCAAAUGCAUAAAUCAUUAAAAGGAAACACAGACAGAAUAAAUUGAAAGAGCGAUUAGAAAUUGAAGAGUGGAGGCGUAUUCACCAUUCGCGAUUGAGAAAUUCUGUUCGCAGCUUCUGAAUUUAUAAGAGAGAACUAGGGUUUCUGAGGGAGCGAUAAUAGAAUCCGAGUACGCCGUCGUUUUUAGAAGAUUACUUGUUGGAUUUUUUCCGUCGAAUCCGCUGAGAAAGCCCAUAAGCUGUUACAGCCAACUUACUUCUCAUCCCUUAUGUUUAAUCUAUCACCCCCUCUAUUUCGUGUGAAAAAGUUUUUUUCCUUUUUAACUAAUAACUAAAACAUUAGUAAAAUUUAGUAAUCCGUAAAUUCUAUACGGUAAAAGAAUUUCGAAAAAAUUUCUACACACAUAAUUCUUCAAAAUAAAAUAUAUAUGAAAAGUUUUUCUCUUCGAUUAUUACUAUUAGUAAUUUUUAACUGUAUUUUUAAUUUUUUAAAAUAAUUUUGUACUUUUAUAAAAAAAAUAUAGAGAGAAUGUGAUCUUUCUACAUAUUUAGCUCGUAUAUGUAUAAAUUUGUGUAUUUUAUAAGUCUUAACAUGUAUAACUUGUAAUGUUAAAUUAUUAAAGGGUGUUUACAUAUAUCAAAUAAUGUUAAGUUCAAAUUGUCAACUAGUUUAUUUGGAUUUUGUAAGAUUGGUUAUGUGAUUAAAAUAAAGUAUUUAUCAAAUGUAAAAUGAUCUUGUGAGGAAGUGAUUAUUUUUUUUUCUUCAGUCAAAGGGUCGGGUGUUAUAUGAAGUUUAGUUUGUUUUUUCGGUUAGAGAAACUAAUGUUAGACGAAGUUGAGUAUUUUUCUCAUGUUGGAGAAAAUUGUGUUAUAGGAAACGUUGCAGCUUUUUUAUUCAUGUCUUUACACAUGAAACACACACUAUUUACACAUGAAACACACACUAGAGAAUAAAAUUAUUGUCUUAUAUACUUGUAGUCAUCAAAACCAAAAUUUAAGAUUAUUGUUCUUAAAACUAUUAGAAACUACCAUUUAAUCUUUGUUUAGUUUCUUAAUUAGUUAUGUUAGUUGCACCAAUAUAGGAUAAUUUGUUGGUAAAUAUCAUUUCUCAUUUGUAUAUAUACACCACUUUCAUAAGGUGUACUAAGACUUUUGAUCAUAUAAUAAUAUGAUAAUACGAGAGGUUGUGAUAAUCUAAUAUGGUAUUAGCCUAAUACCUAUAUUACUUUUUGUCAUUCAUUUCUUCUUAUCACGGAUAUUUUCCUUGUUCUCUCUUUCCUGCCAUAUCUUCCCACAUGUUCCAUCUUCAUUCCACCACUUAGAUCUUCCUCAUAGAUUGCCCUCAGACGUCAUCUUAUCUCCGCCAGCUUAUCCAUAUGUGAAGUCCUCAUAUUGCCUUCUUCCAUUGAUAGUUUUAGGUUUAGGUUUUUGAUAUGGGUUCGUAAGGGAAGUAUGAUGAAGAAAAUGAAAGAAUAAGUUGGAUAAAAGAUGAAUGUGAAAAAGUGUGUGAUUUAUGGUUAUGACUUUUGUGGUUUGAGUUUGGUUUUAUGGGUUUAAGAUAGGAUGAAUGUGCUUGAGAUGGGACACAUUUUUUGGGUUCGGGAUGAAGAUGUUCUUGAGGUGAGAUGAGUUUUUUGGGUUAAGUAUGAAGGUAUUCUUGGGAGAGGAAUGCUUUUCCAAAUUUUGUAUGAAGUGUUCUUGAGAGAGGAUGAUUUUUCUGCGAAUUGUAUAAAGGUGUUAUUAAGAUAGGAUGAUUUUUCUGGGUUUUGUAUGAAGGUGUUUUUGAAAUUAGAUGAGGUUGUUGGGUAUGUGAUGAAGAUGUUCUUGAGGUGGGAUGAGUUUUAUGGUUUCAGUAUGGAGGUAUUCUUGGGAGAGGAAGAAUUUUUUAGAUUUCGUAUGAAGGUGUUCUUGAGAGAGGAUGAUUUUGUUGGGUAUUGUAUGAAGGUGUUCUUGAGAUGGGAUGAUUUUUCUAGGUUUUAUAUGAAGGUAUUCUUGAAAUUUGAUGAGGUUGCUAGGUUUAAGAUGAACAUGUUCUUGAUAGUGGAAGGUGUUUUUGAUUUCUGUUUUUUGGAUGGAAUGUAUAAAGAGGUUUAUGAGUUCGGUCACAGUGAGAGAAGUAAAUAAAGAGUAAGACAGAAAGGAGUAAGUGCACUGAUUAUGCCCUCUUUCAUGAUUGCACACAAUAUCAUAGACUAGUUGGCCAAUUAAUUUAUUUAACCACCACUCGUCCUGAUAUUCCUUUUAUUGUCCAACAACUUAGUCAGUUUGUUUUUCCACCUAUUGAUAAUCUUUUCAACGUGGCAAUCGGAAUCCUUCAAUAUUUAAAAACUAUCAGGGACUAUUUUAUUUUGCUGAUUCUGACUUAGUUCUAUCUAGUUUUGCGGAUAAUGAUUAAGUCGCAUGCCCUACAACAAAAAGAUUUAUAAAUGGUUUUGUUGUUUUUCUUGGAUAAUCUCUUGUUUGAUAAAAGUCAAAUAAGCAAGCAAUGAUAUCUCACUCCAGCUCAGAAGCAGAAUACAAAACCCUUAUUGAUAUCACAUGUGAAGUCCAAUGGAUGCAUUACUUCUUCAAAGAUCUACACAUCCAAUUCAACAAGUCAACAUCCAUUUACUAUGACAACUGAUAUGUAGUCUACCUUGCUCAUAAUCCCACCUUCCACGAACGUUCAAAACAUAUCGAAAUUGACUACUAUAUUAUACGAGAAAAUUUGGAAAUUGGCUUCAUCAAGCUCUUCCCAAUUCCCAUCUUUUACUCAAAUUGUCGAUGUUUUGACUCUGAAGACAAGCUUAACUUAGUUUAAAUUUUGAUGAAGAUAAAAGAUUAUCAAAGAAGGAAAAGGCUUCUCUAUCAUAGCUAAUGUAUCAAAGGCCUCUCAAUCAAGGAUUGUUUAUUCAUAAGCACUAGAUGUCAUAUAAAUGAAGGAAAUUGAUCAUUAUGCUGAGAUACUCAUUGCAGUUCAUUGUAUAUAACUUUAGAUGCUCAUAAAAUCUCAUUCAUCGUUCCUCUCUAAAGUUCUAAACCUUCAUGCAUCAAAACCUUUCAAGUUAGUCCAUUACAAAGCCAGUUUUUCAAUUUUCAAUAGGGUGUAACUGGUUACACAAAAGGCGUAACUAGUUACAUAUGCAUUCUAUUUCAAACAAAACCAAUUUGAAAGGGUGGUAACCAGUUACAAUACAUGUGUAACCGAUUAUAUGAUGCUAUUAUUUGAAAAUUUAUGUAAUGUUAAGGGUGAUACCAGUUACACCUUUUAGAUAAUCGGUUACACUCGGUAAAAUUUCAUCUUUUCAUGGACCAUUCUCAUUUUAACCCUUUAUAAAUCUUCAUGGAAAUGCUAUAGACAUAUGCAACUAAACUUAGAGGUUUCUUAGGGUGUAUUUAAGGCAAGAUACAUCUGAUUUUUUCAAACUACCUCUUUCAUGAAAAUUUUACUUACCAUUCAAAUAAGUUCUAAGUGUUCUUUCAUCAAAAACUUUUAAAACUUUUCUACAUAAUUUUCAUGUCAUUGCAAAGUUUCAUUAUAAAUUUUGAGCAUUUAAUGAUUGUAUAUUAUUGAAUUGUAAUAUUGAAAGGGAAGAUCAAUUUUCAUCUUGAAAUUACUUCAAGGGUCAAUCUUAUUAAAAUUGAUCAAGUAUAUUGUGACUAAAUCACCAAAGUGUGUGGUGAUUAGUUUGUGUAAAAGAAAGUUAUGUACUUUAUUUAAGUGUGUAUAAAUGAAAGUUGUGUGCUUUCUUUUAUGUUGUCAUAUGAAGGUUAUAACUUGGUAUUUGAAGAAUACUUAUAUAACAAUCUCAUCAUAGUGGAAAGUCCUUUAAUACGUGAUGGGACUAGAUGUAUCUUUGUCUAUCCUCCUAACUGAACCAGGUUUUAUAUGGGCUGACCUCUAACCAAGAUGGAGUUUUAAGUUGGCUAUCCUCUAAACCGAGAAAAUAUUUUACAUAAGCUAAUCUCUAACCAACUGAGCUUUUACACCAGGAUGAGCUUAGGAACCAAAUGAGAUUUUAUAAAGGGUAAUAUCGAACUGAUAGAACUUUUAAUUAGGCUGAGCUAAAAAAUUGUUGUGGAGAUUUUAAUGGAUGAUCUUCACGAACCAAAUGGGAGAUUUUCUUAUUGUUGAAACUCACAAGCCAAAUGGAGACUUCCUAAGAUAAUUCCCCAAAAGCAAACAAGAGCUUUUACUGGUUUAACUCGCAACCAAAAAAUUUCCUAAGGAAAAUAUUUUACUUAAGAGAUAAUACACUCUUGUCAAAUUACAAUUAUGCCCUUACCCAGAAUAAUGAUCAUCACUUAAACAUGAAAGUACUUAUGAAACACUAAGUCAAAAUAUAUGUGAGAAGUUGAUUGAUUUAUAAAAAAUUAGAGAGUAUGAAAAAGUUAUAUCAAAGCUCGUUUUCUAGAUUAAGUAAAAUGAUAGAGAAACUCUCUAUUUAUAGGCCAUAUUGGGGUUUAAAUUUGUAAACAAUCCAUGGGCAAAAUGAAUGUCAUAAAGGAUUAGGCUAAUCGAUUAUUGACCCCUAAUAAUCGUUAGUUCAAGCCACAAAUGGAAGUUUUUGAUAUUUAACUCUUAUUAAUCAUUAAGAGAAUGUCCCAAUCAAUCUUAUACUCAACCUAGAGAAAAUAAUCGAUUAGAAUAUUAUGUUUAAUCAAUUAUAUAGUGGUUAAAAUUCUUUCAGUCAAUUAGACACUUCCGUAAUCAGUUGGUUAGGGCUUAAAAACAUUUUCCAAGUGGUUUAAAUAAAAUGUGAGAAGUUUCUCAAAGGUUUUUAGUGUUUGUGAUUUUUCUUUAGGAUUUCCAAAAGUACCCUUGUAUCUUUACAAGACACUAGUUACUCAAGCAGACACAAGUAAACGAGCUCUCACACUUCCUCUUCUUCGCAAAUUUGAAGCUUUGAGUAUUGGCAUCAUUAUAUUUGAGUUUAGCAUCACACGAGAAACGUGUAUCUUCUUAAUGGGGCUUGAGAUAUCUUCAUAUUAAUUACCAUCAUCAGAGAUUUGAUAAGAUAAAUCACCAGUAAACUCCGAAUAUAAGUCUUUACUUGAAUGUCUCAUGACCACAUUAUUGACUUCAAAGAGAUAACUUGAUCAUCAGAAGCAUCUUUAAAGGAUAUCUUGAUUCAAAAGAAUGACUUUCUAACAUGUCUUGAGUAUCUUCGACCACUAGAGAUAUCUUCCACACACAAGGACUUCACUCGAUGUUGUUUGAUAUCAAGUGUUGUCAUCAUCAAACCAAACAUCAAAUUAGUUGAUUGCAACUUUGAUAUCAACAAACUUCAUCAUCUUGGAUCACAUUAAUAACACCUACAAAUAUAUAGAUCCAUAUAAAUGUGCUCCAUCUUCUCCGUUGUGACACUUUCACUUGUUCAUUACAUAAAAUCAUUAUAAUCAAUUUCAACCACCACAUCCACGCCAUUGUAACCUCCUUGCAAAUAAAUUUUUCUUCAAUUAAAAAAUUUGUUGUAAUUUUUUUUUACUAUGGCAAGCAAAAACAAUUCUGGAUCGACACUCGUCUAUCCCGAACCGUUAUCGAACAGAUCAGAUAUAUGUAUAAACCAUAACAAGACGUAAAACAAUGAUGAGAAACAAAUCAUUUUUUUCCAAAAUAAUGUUUCAACAAAUCACGCUUUGUAAUCAAUUUCCAAUGAAAUGGGAAACAAGAAUCAACUAAGAUAAUAUAUCAAACACUUGGAUUUGUUUAUGCCCUUCUCACUUUUAAUUUAUUUCUUUUAUUUUGAGACGUCGUUUGUUCUUGCUUCUCUUUUUUUUUAGGGCUCCUCCUUUGAUUCUUUCUUAAAAGGAUUAUGCUUCUGUCAUUAUUUCUUCUUCCCAGUAAUUAUGGAUAUAAAUUCCAAAUACUUGUUUGAAUUGUAUGAUGAAAGCCUUCUCAAUGUAAACUUGCUCAAAUUUCUGAUUGAUUUUCCUUCAAGAAAGCCACCAUUGAUCAAUUUCACCUUCAAAGUCCCAAAAAAAUCCAUGAUGGUUGAUUUUUCCAUGAAUAUUUAAUGUUUCAACGUAUCGACAAAAUUGGAUUAACCACCAAUAAGCAUCGUUGCUUCCAUCAAAUCUUUGCAUCAUUUAUGUCACUAUCUUCUUGUCGAAAACUCUCAUACAACUAUUAAAUUUUGCUAAAUUAAUUAAAAUUUCUCUGAUACCAAUUGAUAGGACAUAUGAAACAAUAAAAUAAGGUUAAUUCUAACAUGGUCCCUAAGGGAACAAGUUAACAAACUAUUCAACUAUUAACAAUAGAGCUUCAGAUUUUAGACCAAUUACAAGGCGCAAAUGGAUUCCGAAACCACCAAGAGUUCAGUGGGAUAAUGAAGCCAUGCAUAUUCAUGAUGCAUAAAAUAAAAUAAGAAGGUCUUCAUUAUUCUUUUCAUCAUUUUUGGAAGAUUUUAGAACAAAUCACAUGUAUGAAACGUUUCAGAGUUAUGGAGAGAUCAAUGAAGUUGUUAUUCCUUCCAAGCGAGAUGUCAGAGGAAAGAGAUACGAUUUUGUUAGGUUUUUUGAUAUCAUUCAUUAACUUGUAUUCAUUGUGUUUUAUACAAAACAAUAUAAGGUUAAGGGUUAGGCUUAUCAAAUUGGAAUCCUCUUUUCCUAAUGGUGAAUGGUGCGUGAGAGGCGAUUUCAAUGAAAUUAAGAGGUUUAGCAAAAUAAAAGGUGCAAGAUACAAUAUCAACCAUUCAAAAUGGGCUAAAUUAUCAGAUUUCAUUGGGGAUGUAGAUCUAGUGGAUCUCCCUAUAAUAGGUGACAAAUUCUCCUAGUUCAAUUAGGCAGAUGAUUCAGCAAGCAGACUAGAUUGUUUCUUGGUUUCCGAUGGGCUAAUUGAAUUGUGGAGUUUAAAGGGAAAGUUUAUUAGCAAGAAAAGUUUCUCUGAUUAUUGUCUAAUCUCAAAUAAAGCCAAUAGAUUGAAUUAGGGACCAAUUCAUUUAAGUUCUUCUCUUCUUAGAUUAAACAUCUUGAUUUCUUACAUAUGGUUAAAGAUGUUUGGUACGGUGCAAAUAUACAAGGGCAAAAAUUGUUUAUUUUCAAAGAGAAGCUUAAACAUCUUAAGAAUAGAUUAAUAAUUUGGAAUACUGAAGUGUUUAGGAAACUUGAUUUGUAGGUUAAUGAAGUUGUUCAAUACCUUAACUUGUAGGAUAACUUGGUGACUAAUGAAUACAACAUUGUUAUUGUUGAAACCUAUGAUAGAAGGCGUGAAGCUCAAGCCCAGGUUUGGGAAAGAAUGUGUUGGUGUAAGCCCUAGAGGCCAAUACUUUUGGUACUUGUAUUGAAUUAUUUAUUAAUAAUAAAAGGUUUUUUCUUUAUUAUGUUUGUUUAAGAAAGUCCCUAGAAUAUUUAGUCCAUUUAAUGUAUCAAGUGUGACUUAAUCAUGAGAUCCCAUUAAACAUAAGGACAUUAUUCUUAAAGUAUCUGUAGUCGAGCUUUAUUGUAAAAUGGGAUAACAUUAAAGCAUUAAGACUAUUAUGUAUAUAUACUGAUAAUCACAUCUCAUGGAUCACGGAUAAGGAGUUAUCAAGUCUUAAACAUAGGUAUGAAUAUUAAGAGUAAUAUUUAUAGUGGAUUGACCCGCUAUGAGAAUACUAUAUAGAAUGUUAUGCAAAGUGUCAUAAGUUAUUCUCAUGGUGAUAAUGGUGUAUACCACCCUUCGACCUGAAACCACUAUGGACCCUAGAUGUAGAGUCAAAUAGAUUGACCCGCUAUGAGAAUACUAUAUAGAAUGUUAUGCAAAGUGUCAUAAGUUAUUCUCAUGGUGAUAAUGGUGUAUACCACCCUUCGACCUGAAACCACUAUGGACCCUAGAUGUAGAGUCAAAUAUCUUAUUACUGAUCAAACUUUGUCCGUAACUGGAUGGCCAUAAAGACAGUUGAUGGAUACUCCAUGAAGAAUGCUGAGGGACAUGAGUGACCUAGAUGGAAUUUGCCCAUCCUUCGUAACAGGAUAAAUGUCUACGGGCCCAAUAUUGAACUGGAUAAGGAUGACACGGUCUAUGCCUUGUGUUCAAUAUAAGCAUAAGGGCAAAAAGGUAAUUGUAUACAUAAGUAUUAUCACAAAAGGAUUUGUCAGAUCACAUGACAUUUUCGUGUCUUGGGUAUCUGUGAUGUGUUGCUAGAUACCGCUCACUGUUUAUUAUGUUAAAUAUGUGAUUUAAUAUAAUUGCUAAUGUCAUAAAAACCUACAGGGUCACACACAAAAGGACGGAUUGAUGAGAGAUAGAGUAACUAAGGAACACCGUAAGGUACGACGCACUUAAGUGAAUUGUAGAACAUUAUAAGAUACGAUGUACUUAAGUAGAAUAGGAAAUAUGGUAAGGUACCACACACUUAAGUGAUUUUGACAUAUCAUAAGAUAUGGGCCACAUACACUUAAGUGGACUUUUUAGCUUGCAGCCCAUACAAGUGGUUUUAUAAAUAAAACCCUUGUGUAGAAGCAUUUGUGCAGUUGUAAUUUCAUUUCUCUCUCUCUCUCUCUCUCUCUCUCUCUCUCUCUCUCUCUCUCUCUUAAAGCCUUCAUUCGUAGCAGCUAGCACUGAGAUUGAAGGAAUCCGUUCAUGUGGACUGAGUAGAGGCGUUGUUACCAUUCAAAGUUCAUAAUCGCUCCGUAGAUCUGCAUCAAAGGUUUCAAUCGUCACAAGAGGUAACGAUUCUAUCACUGAUCAUGCCCAUUCGUAAGGAUCACUAAAGGAGAAAAUUUUAAAUUCCGCUGCGUUUUGGAUCACUCUUCUCCUUCAGUGGUAUCAGAGCCACUUACAAAACCAUGCAUUUGAUAGUUAUUUAUUUUCUGUAUUAAUACGAUUAUAAGAUAUAAUGAAUCAAAGAACAAACGAGUAAUUAAAUUUGGCAUCAUGUGUGUAUGAUUUGGAUGAUUGAUGUUGACUAUGCUUCGGAAUCCGAUGUUAGUAUGGUGAAGCAGUGAUACAUCGAUCGUCCAUAGGUUACGCAAUUGAGAUCUGUUGUAGAAUACUUUACUGAUAUAUUAAAAAGUGAUUCUUACAUGUUACAUCUACAUGCUUUAAAUAAGAGAGAAUAGAAAACCUAAUGGGCUUUGACUAAUGGGCCUCAUUACUAAUAGAAAUAAUUACUAUUUACAAAAUGGUUUCCUCAUUAACCAAAAAGGGCGAAUGAUCUCCUUCAUCAUUACCAAUAGUUCACUUGGUCAUUCAUUCCGUUAUGUAAAGGGUGUAAGAGAUCACAAUGACAAUGCAUCCUCACUCAUCUCGAAAUCUCAGUUAGCAUCACCUUGGAUAACCUCAUUUUAUGAUGAAUCGGCAGAAAAAAAAGGUCUUCUAGAGACAACUCCGCAUCUUGGCAAUACAGGUCUCCUUUUAUUAAAAGCCCAAUCAGCACUCUAUAUUUCUCCCUUCCAAACAUGCUUCUUCAAGACUAAAGAAAAAAACACAUUCAUUGUCAAUUAUUUUCCAGCUCCAGCCCUCGAAGAACUUACUUAUGCACCAAUCACUAGCAAGACCUGAUCUAAAAUUCUGUUAAGUUUUACUUUUCAUAUCGGCACUUUUUCCUUGAAACAUGUUACAAAAACGAGGACAUCUUCCACUCUUUAAGUCUAUUUUUUAGGGGCUUGAACUUCUAGCUAGAAUUAAACAUGGGAGCCAACCACUAUUGGAUCCCAAGCUCUUACAACAAUGUUCUCAUAAUACGAAUUGACAUAAUGGGUAGUGGAUCAGAACAAUUCCUUGGUAUACUGGAGCGAAGACAAAGACAAGACAAUCCAGGCUUCCAUUAUCAGAUGAGACUCAAUCCAAACAAUUUUAAGGUUUCUUUCAUACCUUCUUACUACCAUGGAGCACGAUGAGUGAUGAAUAGAUUAUUUACAUGGAGAAAGUGUCAUUAGCGGUUCAAGGUUUGUCAAAUUAUAAAAGUCAUCCAUCAAACCUACAAUGGUCAACAAUGAGGCGAGCACGGGCACCAGGCCAUGUAUUGAGUUAAAAGGUUCACAACGCCAUUAACUUCCAAGAUCCCCUUCUUUAAAUUAUAAUCGGUUGAAGGCCAUAGUAAUAUUAUUACGAUCCAAAAAUCCUUCUUUGUAUCAUCAUCACACAAAAUUAAUAUUGAGACACAGAGGACGCGGCCACAAACAUGAUAUCAAUUCCAAUUAAUUAUAUUUUACUUAAAUUAAAUUUUAUAAUAUUAUUGAAUUUUUAAAUAUUUCUCCAAAAUUUAAUGCAUACUAAAUUAGCUUAAUUCUCUUAAAGACCUAGAUUAAUUCUUAAAUAACAUAAUUCUAAAAAAACUCUGAUACAUUAAAAUAUAUUUAUAAAUUAAAGUAACAAAUAAUUACUAAAAAUAUAAUUCAGUCUAAUUUUUGAUUAAAUUAUUAAAAUUCAACUCAAAAUUCAUUUAAUCACUAAAAAUGUAUAAAAAUAAAAACACACCAAUUUGAAUUCGAGUGACCAACACUUCUUUACUUGCAUAAAAGACGAAAAAAACAACACGGGCUUAAUGAACAAUAAUGCUAUUUACAUUUGUUACAUGCUGAUAAAAAAAAUUCACCACAAAUCAUAUACAAGAGCCGAUAUCAAAUAAUAUUGAUAAAGAGAAAUGAAAAAUGGAAAAUAUUAACAAACGCAUCAUCCAAAACUACACUUCAUUCUUAAAUUAUUCUAUUCAUUAAAGCACAAUUUCUAAAUAUUAAAAAGCCGAUCAAAAACUUGAAAUCUAAAUAAUAGAUAAAUCUAAAAUUCAAUAAUAACAAAUGCUAUUCUUACAAAAGUCCCGGUAACUAUUUCCAAUAUUUAAAUUGCUUGAGCAAAUGAUUAAAAUCAUGAUUUUUUUUAUUUCAGAAAGAGUGGUUCUUCUUUUUUUCAGGUUUUUUCAUUUAAUCUGUAAAUAAUGCCAUAAUCACUCAUAAUCAGCCAAUGUAGGCAAUAGAACAGACAUACUAGACCUCACAUAAUCAAAGUUGAAUAACUAAAUAAUCCAGAAAAAAAAAUAAUUGAAUUUCUGAUGCAUAAAAAGUAUGCAGAAUUUAUUUUAGGGAAAAAAAUUCAACUCAGUGAGUAGGCUAGAAUAAAUAUAAGUUCCGAUUUCUGCUGCAAAUAUCUCAACAUGAAUCAGAAGAUGGCUCUUGUAUCCUCAUUCGUUGAAUUUUUUUCCCCAAAAUCAAAAAGCACUGAGACAAAUAAAAAAACUGCAAAAGAUCACUAGCUUCAGCGCUUCUCGACACGCAAGAGCCCAAACUCAAAUAGAGAAGCACUCAUAUCCGCUCUGUUGCAGCUCGACAUUUCACUGGAUCAUCCACUGUGAUCUCUAUUUUUCAUAAUAACAUUCAAAUUUCAAACAACGAAAAAAUCGCAUCCAAGGCAAGACAAAACAUACAAUCAAAAUCAAAAUGCAAAUAAAUCAUUAAAAGGAAACACAACAGAUAAUUGAAAGAGCCGCAGUACAAACUCUGAAGCCUUGAGGCGGUACUCACCAACUACGCGAUGAGAAAUUCUGCUAUCGACAGCUUCUGAAUUUAUAAGCACGAGACACUAGGGUUUCUCGAGGAGCCGAUAACUAGAUCGAGUCACGCCCUCGAUUUUAGAAAGACAUUACUUGUUGACUAUUUUCCCGUCGAAUCCGCUCGAGAAAGCCAUAAGCUGUCUACAGCCAACUUUACUUCUCAUCCCUAUGUAUAAUCUAAUCCAACCCCCACUAAUUUCUCAAAUUGUGAAAAAGUUUUUUUCCCCUUAUUAACCUAAAACUAAACAUUUAGAUAAAAUUUAGUAAUCCGUAAUUCUAUACGAUAAAGAAAUUCGAAAAAAUUCUCUACAACACUAAUUUCUUCAAAACUAAAACUAUCAAUGAAAAGUUUUAUCUCUUCGAUUCAUUACCUAAUUAGUCUAAUUUUUAACUCGGUAUUUUUAAUUUAUGUAAAAAUAUUCUGUACUAUUUAUAAAACAAAUAUAGACCGAGAAUGUGAUCUUAUCACACUAUGUUAGCAUCGUAUAUGUAAUAAAUUCUGUGCGACUUUAAUAAGUUCGCUUAACAUAUCAUCUAACUUGUAAUGAUUAAAUUCACUUAAAGGGCGGAUGUUUACAAUAUAUCAAAUAAUGAUCAAGUUUCAAAUUGACUGCAAUCUCAGUUCAUUGGAUUUCUGUAACGACUUGGUUAAUGUGAUUAAAACUAACAAGUAUUAUCAAAUGUAAAAGAUCUUGUGAGGAAGUAGAUUAUUUUCUCUUUUCUUCAGCUCAAAGAUGGUCCGGGGUGUUAUAUUGAAGUUAGUCUUGGUUUCUUUCGCGUCUAGAAGACAUAAUGUUAGACGAAGUAUUACUUUUUCUCAUGUUGGAGCAAAAAGUGUGUUUCUAUCUACCACCGAAACGUUGCAGCUCAUUUUUCAUUUCAUGUCUUUUACACCAUGAAACACCACACUAUUACCAUGAACCAACACACUAGCAGAAGAAAAUAAUUGUACCUUAUAUAUCCUGUAGUCAUCAAAACAAAUUUAAUUAUUGUUCUACUAAAAACUAAUUAGAAACUGACCAUAUUAAUCUUGUUCUAGUUUCUUAAAUUAUUAGUUAGUUGCACCAAUAUAGGGAUAAUUUGUGGAAAUAUCUAAUUAUCUACAUUUGUAUAUAUCCCACCACUCUUCAUAAGGUGCUUACUAAGACUCUUUGAUGCAUAUCCAAUAAUAUGAUAGUACGGAGACGCAGUUCUCCGAUAAUACUAAUCAUGAUAUAGCCUUAGAUACCUAUCAAGUACUUUUGUCAAAUUCAUUCUUUAUCUCACGAGAUAUUUUCCUUGUUUCUCUCCUUUCCUGCCAUCAUCUCUCCCACAUCCUAUCCUAUUUCAUUCCACACUUCAAUCUUCCUCAUUAGAUAUGCCCUCCAGACGUCAUCUUAUUCUCCGCCAGCUUAUCCAUAUGCUUGAAGUCUUCAUAUUGCCUGCCCCUUCCAAUUGCAUAGUUUUAGUUUAGGUUUUGAUAUGGGAUCUAAGGGAAGUACUAUGUAAGAAAAUGAAAGAAUCAAGUUUGGAUAAAAGAUGAAUGUGAAAAAGUGUGGAUUAUGGUUAUGACUUUUGUGUGAAGUUUCGGUUUUAUGGGUUUAAGAUAGAUGAAUGAUGCUUGUUGACGAUGGACACAUUAUUUUGGGUUCGUGAUGAAAAGAUGUUCGGAGGUGAGAUGGUUUUUUGGCUUACAGUCAUGAAUAUUUUGGAAGAGAAUUCACUUUUCCAAUUUUGUAUGAAGGGUUCUUGAGAGAGGAUAUUUUUCUCCGAAUGUAUUAAAGGUGUAUUAAGAUCUAACGGAUUGAUUUUUCUGGUUUUUGUAUGCAACGGUGUUUUUGAAAUAUAGAUAGAGUCCUGUUGGUAUGUGCUGAUCGAAGGAUGAUUCUGAGUGGGAUGAGUUUUAUGGUUUCAGUAUGGAGUAUUCUUGGGAGAGGAAGUAAUUUUUCUUCAGAUUUCGUAAUGAAUGUGUUUUACGCAGAGGAAUGGUUGUGGGUAUUGUAUGAAGUGUUCUUGAGAUGGGAUGAUUUUAUCUAGGUUUUAUAUGAAAGGUAUUCUUGAAAUCUUGAUAGGUUGCUAGUUUUAGGAGACAUGUUCUGCAUUAGUAGGAAGGUUCGUUUUUGAUUUCUGAUUUAUCUUGGACUUAGGAAUGUAUAAACGAGGAUUUAAUGAGUCUGCGGUCACAUUGAGACGAAGUAAAAUCAAAGAGCUAGACCAGACAAGGAAGUAAAGCUGCAAUGAUUAUGCCCUCACGUUCAAAUGAUUGCAACACAAUAUACAAAGACUAGUUGGCAACUUAAAUAAUUCUACACACCACUCGUCCUAUAAUUCCUUUUACUGUCCAACAAACUUAUCAGUUUGUCUUAUCCCCUACUUGAUAAUCUUUUCCAACCGGGGCAAUCGGAAUCCUUCCAAUAAUUUAACAAACUAUCAGGGACUAUUUCUAUUUUGUAUUCUGACCUUAUUCUAUCUACUUUUUCCGCUGAUAAAUAUUAGUUCGCAUUCCCUCACGAACCAAAAAAGACUUUCAUCAAAACUGGUGUUGUUUAUGUCUUCUUGGAUUAAUCUCUCUUGUUGAUAAAGUCAAAUAAGCACAGCAAUGAUCCAUCUCACUCCAGCUCAAAGCCAGAUACAAAACCCUUAGUUGAUAUCAAUGUGAAGUCCAAUGGGAUGCAAUUACUUCUCAAAGAUCUACAACCAAUUCAACACAAGUUCAACAUCCAUUUACAAUGAACAACGCUGAUAUGUAGCUCUACUUGCAUCAAUAAUCCCACCUUCCCACGAACGUCUCAAAAUACAUAUCGAAAUUGAAGUACUAUACUUAUACGAGAAAAUUGACGAAUUCCUAUCAUCAAGCUUCUUCCCACAUUCCCAAUCUUCUUACUCAAAAUUAGUCGACUGUUAUAUGACUCUGACAGACAAGCUUAACUAGUUUAAGCUUUGUGCAUAGAAUGAUAAAAGAUUAUCAAGAAGGAAAAGCUUCCUCUAUCAAGCUCAAUGUAUCAAAGGCCUCUCAAUCAAGGAGUUGUUUAUUCGAGAGCCACAGAUCGUCAUACUAAAUGAAGGAAAUUGAUCAUCUAUUGCUGAGCAACGCAUUGCCAGUCAUUUAUAUAAACUUUCAGAUGCUCAUAAAAUCUCAUUCAUCGAUCCUCUCUAAAAUUUAAACCCUUCAUGCAUCACAAACCUUUCCAAGUUAGUCCAUUACAAAGCCAGUUUUUCACUUUCUCAAUAGGGUGUAAACUGCGUAUACACAAAGGCCUUAAUAGCUCAUAUGCAUCUCUUUCUAUUUCAAACAACCAAUCUUGAAGGCGGGGUAACAGUUACAAUACAUGUUAACCGAUUAUAUUGAUAGCCUAUUAUUUUACGAAAUUAAAUGUAAUGUAGAAGGGUGAUACCAGUUACACCUUGUAGAUAAUCGGUUAACACUUCGCUAAUUUUCAUCUUUUUCAUGGACCAUUCUCAUUUAACCCUUUAAUAAAUCUCAUGGAAAUGCUACUAGCAUAUGCAACUAAACUUAGAGCGUUUUUAGGGUAUUUAACCGCAAGAUACAUUGAUUUUUCAAACUACGUCUUUCUGAAAAUUUUACUUACCCAUUCAAAUAAGUUCUAAGUGUCUUUAUCAAAACUUAUAUAAAACUCUUUCUACUAAGUCUUUACAUGUCAUUGCCCAAGUUUCAUCUAUCAAUUUUGAGCAUUUAAUUAGAAUGAUAAUAAAUAUAUUGAGAAUUGUAAUAUUGAGAAGGAAGCAUCCAAUAUUCUCAUUUGAAAUUACUUCAAGGUCAAUGCUCUUAUUAAAAUUGAUCAUGUGAUAUUUGGACUGAAUCACCAAAUGUGUGGUGAUUAGUUUGUGAAAGAAAUAUGUACUUUUUAAGUGUUAUCAAAUCAGAAUUGUCGUGCUUCGUUUUCAUGUUCAUAUGGAGGGUUAAACUCUGCGUGAUAUUGAAGAAUACUUAUAUAACAAUCUCAUCAUAGUGGAAAUCCUUUAAUACGUGAUGUGACUAGGAUGUAUCUUUGUCUAUCCUCCUUAACAAACAGUUUAGAUGGGCUGACCUCUAUCCAAGAUGGCGUGUUAAGUUGGCUCAUCCUCUUUAAACCAAACGAGAAAAUAUUUACAUAAGCUAAAUCUCUAACCAACUGAGCUUUUACACCAGGAUGAGCUUAGGAACCAAAUCAGAUUUUAAAAGGGUAAGAUCAACUGAUUAGAAUCUUUGAAUUAGGCUGAGCUAGAAAAUUGUUGUGGAAUUUAAUGGAUGAUCUCGACGAACCAAAUGGGAGAUUUCUUAUGUUGAAACUCACAAGCCAAAUGGAGGAUUCCAGAUAAUUCCCCAAACGCAAACAAGACUUUUACUGGUUUAACUCGCAACCAAAAUAUUGUCCUGAACGAAAAAUAUUUACAUUAAAGAGAUAAACACUCUUGUCAUCUACCAAUUAUGCCCUUACCCAGAAUAUUGAUCAAUCACUUAAACAGAACGAGUGACUUAUGAAACACUAAGUCAAAUAUAUGUGAGAACGUUGAUUAGUUUAUAAAAAAUUAGAGAUUAUGAAAAAUUCAUAUCACAGCUCGGUUUCUAGAUAUAAGAUAAAAUGAUAGAGAGAAACAUCUCGUAUUGUAUAGGCCAUAUGGGUUAAAUUUGUCAAACCAAUCCACAUGGGCAAAAUGACAUGUCCAUAAAGGAUAGGCUAAUCAUAUGACCCCUAAAUAAUCGUUAGUUCAAAGCCAAGAAUUCGGAAGUUUUUGAUUUAACUACUAAUUAUCAUUAAGAGAAGUCCCAAUCAAUCUUUAUACUCAACCUAGGAAAAUAAAUUCAUUAGAAUUAUAGUUUACAUCAAUUAUAUAACGUGCGUUAAAAUCUUUUCAGUCAAUUAGACCACUUCCCGUACAUCGUUGGUAGGCUUAAAAACAUUUUCCAAGUGUGUUUAACAAUAAAAUGUGAGAAGUUUCUCAUAAGGUUCUUUAGUUUUGUGAUCUUUUCUGUAGGAUUUCCAAAAUACCCUUGUAUCUUUACAAAGACACUAGUUAAAUCAAGCAACCCACAAGUAAACGAGCUCUCACACUUCCUCUUCUUCGCAAAUUCUGAACUGUUGAGAUGUAUGGGCAUCAUUAUAUAUUGAGUUAGCAUCACACGAGAAACGUGUAUCUUCUUAAAUGGUGGCUUGGAGUGUCUGUCAUAGUUAAUUACAUCAUCAGAAUUUGAUAAGAUAAAUCACCAGUAAACUCCAUAAUAAAGUCUUUACUUGAAUGUCUCAGUGACCACAUUAUGACUUCAAAGAGAUACUUUGACAUCAGAGCGAUCUUUAAAGAGUAUCUCUGUUCAAAAGAAUGACUUUCUAACAUGUCUUGAGUAUCUUCGACCACUACAGAUUCUCACACACAGGUACUCACUCGAUGUUGUUUGAUCAUCAAGUGUUUCACAUCAAACCAAACAUCAAUUAGUUAUUGCAACUUGUGAUAUCAAAAACUUCAUCAUCUUUGGAUCACAUUAAUAACACCUACAAAUAUAUAUCCAUAUAAAUGUGCUCCAUCUCUCCGUGUGACACUUUCACUGUUCAUUACAUAUAAAUCAUCUAUAAUCAAGUUUUCACACCACCACAUCCACGCCAUUGUAAGCCUCCUUGCAAAUAAACUUUUUCCUUCAAUUAAAAAAUUUGUCUGCUAAUUGUUUUUAUACCUAUGGCAAGCAAAAACAAUUCGGGCAUCGACACAUCGUCUAUCCCGACCGUAAUCGUAACAGAUCCAGCAUAUUAUGUAUAAACCAUACAAGACGUAAAACAAGUGAUGAGAAACAAAUCCAUUUUUUUCCAAAAUAAUGUCUUCUCAACAAAUUCACGCUUGUAAUCAAUUAAUCCAAUGAAAUGGGAAACAAGAAUCAACUAAGAUAAAUAUAUCAAAACACUGGAUUUGUUUAUGCCCAUCUCACUUUAAUUUAUUUCUUUAUUUCUUGAACGUUCGUUUGUUCUGCUUUCUCUUUUUUUAGGGCUCCUCCUGUUGAUUUUUCUUAAAAGGAUUAUGCUUCUGUCUCAUAUUUCUUCUUCCCAGUAAUUAUGCAUAUAAAUUCCAAAUACUAUUGUUUGAAUUGUAUGCACUGAAAGCCUUCAUCAAGUGCUACUUGCUCAAAUUCUGAUUGAUUUUCCUUCAAGAAAGCCACAUCUGAUCAAUUUCUCACCUUCAUACAGUCCCAAAAAAAUCCGAUGAUGGAGUUGAUUGUUUCCAUGAUAUUAAUGUUUCAACGUAUCGACAAAAUUGAUUGACCACAAUACAGCAUCGUCUCUUCCAUCCAAUAUUUUUGCACAUUCUGUAUGUCACUAUCUUCUGCGAAAAACUCUCAUAUCAACUAUUAAAUCUUUGACUAAAUUAUAAAAUUCUCUGUAUACACAAUGAUAGAGACAUAUGAAACAAUUAACAAUAAGGUUAAUUCUCCAACAUGCGUCCCGUAAGGGACAAGUUAAACCAAACAUUAUUCUAACUUAUUCAAUAGAGCUUCAGAUUUAACAAUUACCAAGGCGCAAAUGGAUUCCGAAACCACCAAGAAGGUUCCAGGGCGAUAAUGACAUGCAAUUUCAUGAUGCAAUAAAAUAAAAUAGAAGGUCUCCAUUAUUCUAUUCAUCAUUUUGGAAGAUUCUUAAACAAAUUCACACUGUAUAAACGUUUCGAGUUAUGGAGAGAAUCAAAUGAAGUUGUUAUUCCUUCCAAGCGAAGAUGUCAGAGAAGAACGAUUUUGUUUAGCAUUUUUGAUAUCAUUCAUUAACUUGUAUUCAAUUCGCUGUUUUAUACAAAACCUAUUAAGAGUUAAAGGGUUCAGGCUUAUCAAAUUGGAAAUCUCUCUUUUGCUAUGGUGAAUGGUGGUGAGAGGACAUUUCAAUGAAUGCAAAGGGUUGCCAAAAUAAAAGGCUGCCCAGAACAAUAUCAACCAUUCACAAAUGGGCUAAAUUAAAUCAGAUUUCAUUGGGAUGUGAUCUAGGGAUCUCCCUAUAUAGGUGACAGAAUCUCCUAGGUUCAAUUAUUGGCAGAUGAUUCACCAGCAGACUAGAUUUGCUUCGUGUCUCCGAGUGCUAAUUUGAAUUGUGGAGUUAAAGGGAAAUAGUCUUAUUACAAGAAAAGUUUCUCUGAUUAUUGUCUAAUCUCAAAUAAAGCCAAUAGAUUGAAUUAGGACAACUUCAUUUAAGUUCUUCUCUUCGGUAGAUUAAACAUCUUGAUUUCUUACCAUAUGUUUAAAGAUGUGUUGGUACCGUGCAAAUAUACAAGGGCAAAAUUGUUUAUUUCAAAGAGAAGCUUAAAACAUCUUAAAGAAAAAUUGGUCUGAAGGAAAUCAAUCCAAUACCCAUCUACCGCACGCAAGAAUCGGUCAGAUACCUCAACGACGCACCAGAUCAGACCCCUCCCCACCACGCGUCCACAAACACAGACCAGCUAGACCCGGACCGUUGAUUUGUAAGUUAAUGAGUGGUUCAAUACCUUAACUUGUAAGGAUAACUUGGUGAACACAUGAAUACAACAUUUUAUUGUUGAAACCUAUGAUAGAAGGCGUGAAGCUCAAGCCAGGUUUGGGAAAGGAUGUCGUGGGUGAGCCCUAUGAGGCCAACAAUACUCUGUGGGACUUGUAGUGUGAGAGUUACUUGAUUGAACUAAUAAGACGUUUGCCUUAUUAUUUUGUUUAAGAAGGAGGUCGCCUAGAUAUGUUAGUCCAGUUAGAGUGGAUCAGUGUGACUUACAUUGAGAUGCCCAUUAAACAUAGGACAAUUCUUAAAGCUAUCUUAGUCGAGCUUAUUGUAAAAUGGGGAUAAACUAAGCAUUAGACGUCAUUAUGGUACUAUAUAUCUGAUAAUCAGCAUCUACAAUUGGUCGAUCGGUAAGAGAUAAUCUAACAUAAGGUAUGCAGUAAUAGUGAUAGAGGAUGUGAGAGUAUAUGUGUAGUGUGGAUGACCCGGCUAUGAAAUACUAUAUAGAAUGUGUUAUGCAAAUGUCAUUAAUAUAUUCUCUAUGGUGAUAAGUGGUGCUAUACCCGCCGUGUGCACCUGUGAAACCCACUGAGGUGGGACCCUAGAAUGUUAGAGUCAAUAUACUUAUUAGCUGAGUCAAACUUGUGGUCCUAACUGGAUGCACAUAAAGACAGUUGAUGAGAACUCAUGAGAUGCUGAGGGAAUGAGUGACCUAAGGGAAUCUUGCCCAUCCUUCGAUAACAGUGCAUAUAGAAGUUCUACGGGCGCCAAUAUUGAACUGGAUAACGGAUGACACGGGGUCUAUGCUCUGUGUUAAUAUUAGCAUAAGGCCAAAAAUGGUAAUGUAUACAUAAGUUUAUCACACAAAGGAUUUGUCAAUCACAUACAUUUUCGUGUCGCUGGUUAUCUCGUUGAUGUGUUGGUAGAUACCGCUCACUGUUAUUUAUUUAAAUAGUCAUUAAUAUAAUGCUAAUCGUCAUAAAAACCACAGGUACACACCAAAAAAAAAAAAAAACAAAAAAAAAAAAAAUGGACGAUUGAUGAGACGAUGAGUAACUAAGACACGUAACGCGUAGCCCACACUUAACGUGAAUUGUAGAACAUAUAAAGUACGAGUCUUAAGAUAGAAUAGGAAAUAUGGUAAGUACCACACACUUAAGUGAUUUUGACAUAUCAUAAGAUAUGGCCACAUACACUUAAGUGACCUUUUUAGCUUGCAGCCAUACAAGUGGUUUUAUAAAUAAAACCCUUGUAGCUUAGAAGCAUUUGUGCCAGUUGUUAAUUUCACUUUCUCUCUCUCUCUCUCUCUCUCUCUCUCUCUCUCUCUCUCUCUCUCUUAAAGCCUUCAGUCGUAGCAGCUAGCACUGAGAUUGAAGGAAUCCGUUCAUGUUGACUGAAGUAGAGGCGUUGUUACCAUUCAAAGUUCAUAAUCGCUCCGUAGAUCUGCAUCAAAGGUUCAAUCGUCACAAGACGGUAACAUUCUAUCACGAUCAUGCCCAUCGUAAGGAUCACUAAAGGAAAAUUUUAAAUUCCGCUGCGUUUUGGAAGUCACUCCUUCUCCUUCAGUGGUAUCAGAGCCACUUACAAAACCAUGCAUUUGAUAGUUAUUUAUUUCUCUGUAUUAAUACGAUUAUAAGAUAUAAUGAAUCAAAGAACAAACGAGUAAUUAAAUUUGGCAUCAUGUUGUAUGAUUUGGAGAUGAUGUUGACUAUGCUUCGGAAUCCGAUGUAGUAUGGUGAAGAAAUGAUACAUCGAUCGUCCAUAGGUUACGCAAUUGAGAUCUGUUGUAGAAUACUUUACUGAUAUAUUAAAAAGUGAUUCUUUACAUGUUACAUCUACAUGCUUUAAAUAGAGAGAAUUAGAAAACCUAAUGCGGCUUUGACUAAUGGGCCUCAUUACUAAUAAUAAUACUAUUUACAUCUUAUAUUUAUAAACACUCCCCUCAAGCUGAGUGAAUGGAAUCUCAUCAUUCCCAGCUUGCAACGGUAAGUGCCUGAAUCGUUCUGUUGGUAAGCCUUUUUUAACACAUCUGCGCGAGCUGCCCGCUUCUCUCAUCGCCGGGCCGAGCCCGGAGACGUAGAUGUAGUUUAUCAUCCACUAUCCAACUUCUUUUGAUAAAAUGCUCGGUCAAAUCUCAAUGUGUUUACCUGUCAUGUGAACAGGUAUUAUGACGCAAUUAUAAUAGCCGAUUUAUUGUCCACAAAACAAUUUCACUAGGACCUUACACAUUGAUCUUCAAGUCUUCUAGAAUUUGUUUCAUCCACAAUAGCUCUACCAAAUUCCUGUGAACACUAGCUCUAAUUUGCCUCGGCGCUGAUCGAACCAACUACACUUGGCUUCUACUCUUCCACGCUACAAGUUACCACACGAAAAGUACAAUAGCCUGACUUAGAUCUUUCGUCACGCACUGAUCUGGCAUAAUUCUGCAUCCAGUGUAGUUCCCCAUAGUUAAGAUUUCCACCCUCUUGUUAAACAAAAGUCUUCUCCCUGGAGUGCUUUAAGAUUAGUUGUAAGACGCGUGCUACAACCUGCAAUGUCUCACUCCGGAUCAUAGCAUGCUGAAUUGGCUCACCAUACGGACUGCAUAUGCCAAAUCUGGUCUACGUGGUGCCAAUAAAUAAUUUUCCACUAAUCUCUGAUAUUGACCCUGUUGUUAACUUUUUCACUUUCCUGCCCUUCAAGUUAUCCUGUGAUUUUUGUUCAAUAUGGCGAAAGCAGUAUCAUGUUUGCGGCCACGCCGGGCGGCGAACCCCCGCCCCCCCUCCCCCCCCCCGCGCCGUGACCCACCCAGUUUCUUGCCAAAAGAUCAACCACAUACUUCCUUUAGAAAUAAAUACCUGCCUUGCUUGGAGUAGCUACCUCAAUUACCCAAAAAUACUUAGAUGCCCAAGGUCUUUCAUUCUCAAACUCUUCCGUGUAUUUCUCUUUGAGAAAUGUCUCUCAAUCAAAUCAUACUCCUGUAAUAAUAAUAUCAUCAACAUAAACAAGAAGUACGCAUGUUCUCCUCUUGUAAUGUUAAAAAAUAAUAGUGCGUGGUUCUCCUGACUUGCUAUAGCCCAAAACAUCNNNNNNNNNNNNNNNNNNNNNNNNNAUCUAAUAUAAGCGAACAUGCCGCAUGCAGGCCAAAGUUAACCUCUCCAUCUCAGCCGCCACCAUCUCCGGUUCGUUCUUCCAUCCGUUUUUUUUUUGUUUCCAUGAUUUCCUUUCACUUUGUCUUGUUGAGGAGAAUAUGCUUAAUGUUGAUUGUGGUAAUGAAAAAUUGAUGAGUUUCUUGAGGCCUGCCAGAAUGUUCAUGAAUGCGGACCUGUUGAGUAGACUAGUGCCAUUAUUCGUGAAGCACGCGCAUUCCAGGAGGACAUCUUUCUAGCUUGUAAUCUGUUGUUAUGUGAGAAUCACCUCAGGCUGUGGCAUGGGGAUUCAUUGUUGUACUUCUGAUCAUUGGGAUCUUUGAAACCUAUCGUUUGUUGAUUCUUAGGUUGCUCGUGGUCAGAUAGAGAUGAGAGAGUUGAGUUGAAUGGUUCAACCUUGUGCUCCUUACUUGUGUAGUGUUUGUUUAUUUGCUUUGGGCUAGUGUUGUCUUGCUAGCAGGGUUGCCAUUUCCAAACACAUCAUUGCCUUUGUGAAUCUUCCAAACCAUGCCCGAGGGGACUGCUUUAGUCCAUAUAAGGCUUUCUUCAAUUUACACACCUUGUUAGCUCCAUUUGUUAUGCCAACACCUGGUGGAAUAUCCAUAUACACUUCUUCCUCUAAGUCUCCAUGCAAGAACGCAUUUUUAACAUCAAACUGUUGCAAUUCCCAUCCACAUGAAGCAGCAAGAGAUAGUAAAAUUCAUACAGUAUUCAUCCUUGCCACUGGGGCAAAUGUCUCCUCAUAAUCAAUACCAUACGUCUGAGUAUAACCUUUUGCCACUAGUCUUGCUUUGUUCCGAUCAAGUGUACCAUCAGAUUUGUACUUUACAGUAUAGAUCCAUCUGCAUCCAACUGGACUUUUGUCUAUUUUCCUUUCAAUAAUCUCCCAAGUACCAUUUUUUUCAAGUGCUCUCAUUUCCUCAUCCAUAGCUUGGACCCAAUUUCUAUUUUGCAAUGCUUCUUCAAUAGAUGAUGGGAUUUUCAUAGAAUCAACAACUGCAAUAAAACUUUGAUAUUAUGUAGAAAGAUGUUUAGUGGAGACAUAUUGAGAGAUAGGGUGUCGAUAUAGGGAGGGACAAGAUCUUUUAUCCUUCCUCAAAGCAAUGGGUAAAUCAACUAGAUUAGUGUCACAAGUAUCAGAAAUGGCACAAUCAUCACUAGAGGAAUCAUUUUCAGUACUUACCUCCAGUUCAGGCGAUUGAAUUUGUUUCUGGAGAAGGUCAGGUUUACUUCUUCUCUGAUACACUAGAGUUGGUGCUGGAGGUGUUGAUUCCUGUAAAACAGAAGGCCUUGAAGGACCAGGAACACUUACUGGCUCAGAUUCAGGUGUUGAACUAGGACUCAAACUCAAACUAGGUGACAACUCGGGUUCAAGAGAGGGAACACUGAUAGGUGUUCUAGGGAGGCUAGGACCAAGGAUCAGAAACUCGGACUCAGACUCUGACUCUGACUCUAAGUCACUUAUGUUCUCCCCCUGAGACUGAGAACGAGUGAAAUAUGACACAUUUUCAUGAAAGGUGACAUCUUUGGAGACAAAGAAUUUUCGACUCGGAGGAUGAUAACAUUUGUACCCUCUUUUGUUGGGUGCAUAACCCAGAAAGAUACAUCUGACAGCACGGGGAUCCAAUUUGUUGCGAUAUUGUUUGUGAACAUGAACAAAAGCAACACAACCAAAAAUGCGAGACUCAAGAGUGUGUAAGAUAGGAACAGAUGGAAAACGUGAAAGCAUAAAUUGGGCAGGACUUUUAUUACCUAACACUCGAGAUGGGACCCGGUUAAUCAGAUAGGCAGCAGUAAGAAUUGCCUCACCCCAAUAAGAGGUAGGAACAGACAUUUGAAAAAGGAGAGAUCUAGCAACUUCAAGUAAAUGACGAUUUUUUCUUUCUGCGACACCGUUUUGUUGUGGGGUGUCAACACAUGUGAAUUCAUGGAGAAUGCCAUGUUUACUAGUGAAGUUGGAAAAGGUAUGAUUGACAUAUUCUUUACCAUUGUCAGAACGAAUUCUUUUUAUGCCUUUCCCAAAUUGCGUUUGUACCAUAUUAUAAAAUUGGAUAAAUAUUUGUGGUACUUCGGAUUUAGUAUUCAUCAAGAAAAUCCAAGUUACCCGAGUACAAUCAUCAAUAAAUGAGACAAACCAUUUUGCACCAAAAAUAUUAGAGGUAGGGGCAGGUCCCCAAACAUCAGAAUGAAUCAAAUCAAAAGGUUCAUCACUUUUAUUAAAACUGGAAGGAAAAGAUACACGAUUGUGUUUUGCCAACUGACAAACAUCACACUUAAAAGACUCAACAGAAUGGUGUAAGAACAACGACGGAAACAUAGACUUAAUUAUAUAAAAUGGAGGAUGACCGAGACGCUUGUGCUGAAGCCAAAUUUGUGAGGCUGAAGAGGAAGACUGAGACUGGAAACAGGAGGACAACACCUUUGGAUGGUCAUCAGAGAAGUAGUAUAACCCUUCCUUUUCCUUAGCAAUUCCAAUCGUCUGCCCCGUGGUAAGGUCCUGAAAAACACAAUGGGACAUAGAAAAAAUUACUUUACAAUUCAGAUCACGGGUAAGCUUAUGGAUGGAAAUUAAAUUGUGGGAAAGUGUGGGAACAUGAAGCACAGAUUGCAACUGGAAUGGAGGUUGCAAGUCAAUAUUUCCAGUGCCAACAACACAAGCAUGAGAGCCAUCAGCAACAGUGAUAUAAGGAAUACUCGAAGGUGUGGUAUAAGAGCAUAAUAAUGUGGAAUCAAAUGUCAUAUGAUUAGUAGCACCAGAGUCAAGAAUCCACGCAUUCUUAGGAAUAUUACCACAAACAGUAAGAGAUCGGGAACACAAACUCUUACCAGUAACUGCUAGAGACCCAGAACCAGAAGGCUUACUCAUGGAGUCAAGCAUAGACUUCAACCGUUCCACAUCAUUCUGACUGAAGGAGGAAAGAUCAGUUCCCCUCUUUUCAAAGCUUUCAGUAUCCUGGACAUGUGUAGCAACAUGUGCCUGAUACUGGUGCAUGUUGCGAGAACCGCCACCUCGGCUAAGAACCUGCUCCCUCCCAUGAAGUUUGAAACACCUAUCCUUUGUAUGCCCUGAUCGGUUGCAAUGCUCACAAUAGAAUUUGUCACGAACAUUCUUGGAUGAUGAUGGUGGUGGUCCUUGUCUUGUUGUUUUGCUAGCUACUAAUGCUGACACAUCCGGGGGCUGUUCAUGAAGCAUAGCUUGACGACGGGUUUCCUCACUACGGACAGUGUAAAAAACUUCAUUAAGAUCAGGAAAUUUUUCCUUACCCAAAAUCUGCACCCGAAUAGGGUCAAAUUCAGCAUUAAGGCCUGCUAGGAAAUCAAAGAUCCUAUCCCGCUCAACAACAGUAUUCAAGGUGGCAGUAUCCUUGCUGCACUCCAUCUUCAAAUUCUGAUACUGAUCCAACUCAAUCCAAAAACCAUUGAGAACUCCAAAAUACUCAGUGAUCGAAAGAUUUCCCUGCUUAGUGUUGAAGAUUUUCCUCUUUAAAUCAUAACAAGCAGACAUAUCUUGUUUCAUGGAAUAACUGCGACGAAGAUACUCCCAAACUGCCUUUGCACUUGAGAGAUACAUGCAAUUUCUACUAAUUUCUGGAGAUAUGGAGUUCCAAAGCCAAGUAAUAAUAGCAGAAUCAUCUUUAUCCCAGGAAGGGAAGUUAGGAGCAGUAACCAGAGGAGGAUUUCCUUCAAUAUGAUCAAGCAUGUCGCAACAUUUUAGAGUGUGUCUGAUGAACUGAGACCAUUGAAAAUAAUUUUUGCCGGUAAGCCAAUAACCUUUUUGAACGACAAAAUCCUUAGCAUUAAAUGGGGCUGGUGGAUUUGUGGGAGGUGGAGGUGGAGGUGGAGGUGGAGGUGGUUGAUCGUUAAUAAUCUCAGCCAUUGAAAGGACAAUCGAGAGAAAACAAACCAAGAAACAGGAUGGGUUAGGGUUUCAAAGAUGAGUGAACAAAAACAAGAAGCACGCAAAACAACAAUGACCCAAACACCCAAAAACAACAACAAACUGCAAACUGCAGUAAAAAAAAAAUCCGCUACAAGGCGGCUAGGGUUUAGGCGGAAGCGAAUCCCCCAAAAUCGGGAGCUCUUGAUACCAUGUUGUAAAAUAUUUUACUGAUAUAUUAAAAAGUGAUUCUUACAUGUUACAUCUACAUGCUUUAAAUAAGAGAGAAUAGAAAACCUAAUGGGCUUUGACUAAUGGGCCUCAUUACUAAUAGAAAUAAUUACUAUUUACAAUCUAAUAUUUACAACAAGAUCAAUCAAGUUAUAUAUAUAUGAUAUAAGUAAUCCUGAUGAAAAAUACAGUAUAUAUGAUAUACUAUUUCUGUUUCGUUCAUUCAUACACUUAAUGGUUAUUUUCCUUUGAGCGAUCAAUGGUAAUUUGCUUCUUGAUCCGACAUUAGUAUGGUGAAGCAAUGACGAGUUGAUCAAUCAUACUGAAUUAAUAAUCGAGGUAUGUUUAAUGGUUUGGAAUUGGUGCAUUAGGGUUCAUGACGGCACAAGGAUUGUGCUGCCAAAGAGUUAUGCGAUUAGGAUUGUGACUGCGCAAGAGUUGUGCUUUAAAGUAUCAAGUGUUGAUGCAAAAAACGACGUCGAUUUCAAAUGAAUUGUUCAUUAACAUUUUGCGUCGGGGUGCUGCCCCUAACAAUCCCGUAAGGGGGUGCUGCCCUCUUGACCCUCGUCCGCUUACAUGUCAGCGGAACCCCCGGCUAACUCUGCGUAGUGUGAUCGGUCGCCGAAAUUUAAUUUGGUUUUAAUUAAUUAACAUAAUUUAAAUUAAUAAUAAUAAUGUGUUUAUUAUUAUUGUCUUGUGGUGAUCGGUUAUGGCCUUAGUUUUCCUUUAUUUUGUUUUGGGAUUUUAAAAUACGACCUGCGAUCGUGUCUCUCUUUUAAUCUCUUAAUGUAACUUCUUUUCUCAUCUCACUCCCUCGUAUGUAAAACAAGUUUCUUUUAUGUAAUGUAAUGUUAUGAAGAAAGAGAAGAAUACAAUAUCAAAGGAGGACAACCUUGAAGAUCUUGCUUGGAGAAGCUUAGAUUAUUAUUAGGUCAACUUAGGUUCUCUCAUUGGCUUGGGAGAACAAUUGCGCUAAGGGCCAUAAUUGUUUCAUUAUGUAUGUUGAUGCAUGUGAGAGACGAUUUAUAUGAUAAAUAAGCCGGUGAGAUCAAAAUAAUUGCAAAUUUUCUCAAAUUAAAUAUUAAGUUUAUGCUUUCCAAGUUUUAGCACUCAUCAAGACUAAUAUCGAAUAAUGUAGGUUUCGUCUAUGCGAGGUGCAUAUUCUAUAUUAGUAAGGUGCGAUGGGAUAAUUGUAAUAUCCAAUUGCUAAAACAAUUGGUCAAACUUAACUAAACAAAUUAUAAUAAGAUUAUAUAUGUUUAGAAGCAAUAGUUGGAAAUGAUCCAUAUGAUGGAUUGGAAUAAGGAGUUAUUCAUCCAACUAAAAUAUUCGAGAGUUGUAUUAGAUACAAUUGGAAGGAGUUCCUACCUAAAUAACCUAGUUUUGUGUAAUCCGCCUACGCGGACUUAAAACAAAGUGAGGGUCAUUUGUUUUGAGUAAAAUAGUGGGAGCAUAUUUAAUUAAAGGCCUAAUUAAAUAUGUUAUUGAUACUUAUACUUUCAUUAUUUUCAUGUAGAUUACCAUGACAACAAACACCUCUAACAACAUUUUGCGAUUAAUCCUUGACAAGGAAAAAUUGUCUGGGACAAAUUUUUUGGAUUGGCACGAAAUCUGAGGAUUGUCCUCAAACAUGAUAGAAAGUUGUAUGUCUUGGAGAAACCUGUUCCUGAAGAGGAACCUCCUAGUUCUGCACCUAAGGCAUAAAAAGAUGCUUAUAAGAAGCAUGUCGAUGAUGCCAAUGAAACUGCUUACCUCAUGCUAGUGUUAGGGACCAAUUAGUACUAAUUUUCAUAUAAUUUUAUUGGUCCCUUUUACUAAUUUUUGAUUUAAUUACACACUUUUAUUCUCACAAUUUUGUAUAAAUGCAAUUAAGUUUAAUUGAUUUUGUUUUGAGUAGUUAUUUCACGUAUUUGUUAGUUUUGUAGAGUUUUUGGACAAGAGAGAUUUAAUUGAUUUUGUUUUGAGUAGUUAUUUCACGUAUUUGUUAGUUUUGUAGAGUUUUUGGACAAGAGAGCAUCGGAGUGCAUAAGCAUAAUCUAGAAGAAGUGUCAAUGGCAAUUUGGAGGCAUAAAUUGGAAGACUAACACUUGGGAGAAUUAUUACAUGAAGCUUGCAAGGCAAGGAAGCUGAGUUAGCUUCAGUUCGCGCCGCGACCAGGGAUGGCGCCGCGAACCUUGCGAAACCAGCAAGCAGUUUGUUGGGCCAAGUGUUCUGUUUUCAAGCCAGCUGUAUUGUGACAGUUUUGUAUCUAUUUUAGAGUGUUUUUCAGUUUUAGAUGAAAAUGAACAUUUUAGGAAAGGUUCAACUCUUUAAGAAAACAGAAUGGAAAAUAGAAAAACAUUCAUUCCUAGAUACACAUAUUGUAAGAGAAAAACAAAGUUUAUUUUACCAUUGCAUUUUGCUGUCCAAAAUGAUGAUGAGGAGCUAAACCCCAUUUUGUCAAGAUUGGAGGUAGUAGCUAUUCCUAUUUGUUUAUGUAUUUCAUUUGACUCUUGUAUAUGACAAAGGGUUAUUGAUGUUGAAUGAUAUUUUUGCCCUAAGUUGAAUAUUUAGAUUUGAGUAGUUGUUGAGAAAGAUUAUUCAAGUCUUGACUUAAAAUAUACUUUCAAGUAAUGAAUGAGUUGUAGAAAUAGAUUUAUACACUACUCUUCUUUUGUAUCAAACAUUAAAGAUUUCUAUAUUGAUAGUUAGGUAGAGAAAUCAUUUAACCAUUAAUAUAAUGAUUAUCACAAUAUCAUUUAGAGAUAAAUGAUAUUGAGAGGAUACUUGAAUAUCAUCAAUAAUCUUAAGUCUAUAUAGUUGUCAUAAGGAAUCAUAAGCAAUUUGAAUAGUGAAGCUAACAAUCUGCCAAGCCUUUUAAGUUAUUAAAACGUAUUUUAUUGUUUUAGGUGACAUUUACUUCAAAAGAAUUUUCAAACAAAACAACUUGGUUACAAUUUGAGACUUAUAACAAUUUGGAUUAUAGAACAAGAAAGCGGUAAUAACACCAAUCUCUGUGGAUACGAUAUUAAAAUAUUUUUCCGAAUAAUAUAAACUUUCAACAAAUGCGCCAGUUGUCGGGAUUGGUGUCGAUUAUUAACAGUCAUGCAACUAAUUCAUUGUUCUAAGUUUUGUAGUACUAUCAUCUUGUGUUUCCACUUGGUUGUAGUUUUGUAGAUCUAGUGCAUGCGAGGAAAAGCUACCGAGGAGAAAUUUCAAUUACGAUCCCGAAAAUUGAAAGAAGACUUCGAAAGCUCAAUAGCAAAACACGAAGAAGAAGGAAACUAGCCGAAGAGAGGAACCGGAGAGAGGAAGUAUCUACUUCUUCACUUGUUCAAAUCGAAGAAGUGGUUGUAGAGACUUUUCAAGGAAACAUGGCGGAUGAUACUCCUACCGAAAUGUCCGCUAAUAGUCCAAGAAGGAAUGCUCAAUUUGCUCGUGGUGGAAGGAAUACGGAGAUGAAGACCAGAAUCCUCCAACUCCUUUAUGCAAAUCCAUUCACCAGAAUGGACCAUGAAGAUCCGUAUACCCAUCUCAUCAAAUUCUAUGAGAUUGCGGGUUCUACGGGAAUAGACGAAACGGGUGAAGAAGCAUUAUUCAAGAGGAUAUUCCCACACUCCUUAAUAGGAAAGGCAAAAAAGUGGUACCUUGAUCAAGCACCAAGAGUGAUGAAGGAUUGGAAUUUGUUAGAAGAAAAGUUUCUAGAAAGAUAUUUUCCUCAAUCUCGAUUCAUGGAAGCCAAAACGGCUAUUGCGGUAUUCACUCAAGGAAGUAACGAGUCCCUAAUGAGGCUUGGGAAAGAUUCAAGUCAAUGUUGAGAAAAUGCAAAGGCCAUGGUUUUGAUGAGCUCACUCAAAUCCAUAUUUUUCUAAAUGGGAUCCAAUCAACUCACAAGACACUUUUGGAUGCUAUCGCAGGUGGCUCUCUUAUGUCAAAGAAUACGGAAGAAGCAAAAGUCAUUAUUGACCGGAUGGCACUCAAUGAUCGUCAAAGUCAACACGACCGUAGUCCUUCACAACGGAAACCGGGAGUUCUUGAGUUAAAUACCAAUGAUGUCAUUCUUGCUCAAAACAAACUACUUUCUCAACAAGUGGAAUUGCUCACGCAACAAAUCUCCAAACUCCCACAACAGAUGAAGGAACUUCAAGGGUCUCAAGUUAGACAUCAAGUAGCAUGUUGUGAAUUAUGUCAAGGAGAUCAUCCAACCGGUUUUUGUCCUCCAUUAGAAGAAGUGAGUUAUGUGAACAAUCAAAAUCAAGGCUAUCAAAGACAAACUCCACCUUACAACAACUCAUAUCUAAGAAACAAUCAAGGUUAUCAACCAUCAAGGUUCAACAACCAAAAUUUUCAGCAACAAAGUCCUUAUCAACACCCAAAUUCUCAAGGACAACAAUUGCAAGGAGGAAAUUCAAAGCUAGAGGAUACUCUUCAACAAUUCAUGCAAGCCUCCAUGGCUAACCAAAAGAGCAACGAGGCAACAAUCAAGAAUUUGGAGAAUCAAGUAGGCCAACUUGCGAAGCAAUUGUCUGAACAAAAUGCGGGAUCUUCAUUCUCCGCUAACACUCAAACCAAUCCAAAGGAGCAUUGUAAAGAAAUUGUUACGAGAAGUGGUAAAGAGUUGACAAGUGGAAAAAGUGAGGAUAUUACAGUAGAGAAUGAUAUGGAUGUUGUGCAUGAAAAUAAGGAUGUGGAUUGUGAAAAGGAGAAAGUGGCAGAAACUGUUCAGUUCACACCGCGAUCUCCCUUCGCGUCGCGAAAAGAGCAGAACCAGCAACUGACAGCAGAGCAGCAGGUUAAAGUGGAACUGAAGAAGGAAGUCGAGUCAAGAAAGAAAAAGAAAGGAGACAAAGGUGUGAGUGUCAUUCCAGCUCAACAUCUAUCUUAUCCGCACGCACCAUCAAAGAAGGACAAUGCUAGACACUAUGCAUGGUUUAUGGACAUAUUCAAACAACUUCAAAUAAAUAUUCCAUUUGCCGACGCAUUAGAGCAAAUGCCACGGUAUGCAAAGUUCAUGAAGGAUAUUCUCACAAAGAAAAGGAGAUAUGUGGAAGACGAGACAAUCUUGCUUGAUGCACGUUGUAGUGCCAUAAUCCAAAAAACUCUCCCAACGAAGGAAUCCGAUCCGGGCCGAGUCGUUUUACCGGUAACCAUUGGAGGCACCUACAUUGGUAAUGGUUUGCUUGACUUGGGAUCUAGCAUCAAUUUAAUCCCCCUAUCCAUUGUUAAAAGAUUGGGAAAUGUUGAGAUUAAAUCUAUAAGGAUGACUUUACAACUAGCCGAUAAGUCUACCACUUCACCAUAUGGAGUUGCUCAAGAUAUGCUAGUGAAGGUGGACAAAUUCUUGUUUCCAGUAGACUUCGUGAUAGUGGAGAUGGAUGAGGAUCGUGAUGUUCCUUUAAUUCUUGGAAGACCAUUCAUGAAAACAACCCGAAUGAUGAUUGACAUUGAUGAUGGAUUAAUGAAAGUAAGAGUGCAAGAUGAAGAGGUAACUUUCAAUCUUUUUGAAGCUAUGAAGCAUCAUAAUGACAAACAUGAUUCUUUCCGAAUCGAUGCCACCGAGGAGGAAAUAGUGGAGGUCGCAAACCAAGUUCAUGUUUCUAAUUCAUUAGAGAGAUCUCUUAUCGGAGCCUACAAUGUUUUGACCGAAAAUGAAGAAAAAGAGAUUGGAGCAAUGUUGCAUGAAUUAGAGUCUUGUGGAUAGCUUGCUUAUCAUAAAGAGACAAAUGAAGAUUUGGAUGUGACAAAGAAAGUGGAAGAACCAAAACUAGAGUUGAAAAUGAUACCUUCAUACUUGAAGUAUGUGUUCCUUGGUGAUGAUUGUACUAAAUCGGUGAUCAUUAGCAAUACCUUGUCCACAAAAGAGGAGCAUAACUUGAUACAAGUGCUGAAAAAGAAUGAAGGUGCAAUAGGGUGGGUAUUAUCCGACUUGAAGGGUAUUAGUCCAGCCUAUUGUAUGCAUAAGAUUAUGAUGGAAGAAAACUUCAAACUCGUUGCACAACCUCAAAGGCGCUUAAAUCCAUCAACGAAAGAAGUAGUUCGAAAAGAAGUUGUCAAACUCUUGGAAGCCGAAAUGAUUUAUCCUAUCUCCGACAGUGAAUGGGUGAGUCCGGUGCAAGUAGUCCCAAAAAAAGGUGGCAUGACGGUUAUCAAAAAUGAUAAAAAUGAGUUGAUUCCAACUAGAACGGUAACCGGGUGAAGGAUGUGUAUUGACUAUAGAAGGCUAAACCAAGCUACAAGGAAAGAUCACUUCCCACUACCUUUCAUGGACCAAAUGUUGGAAAGGUUGGCCGACAAAAAAAUUCUAUUGUUUCUUGGAUGGUUAUUCGGGUUACAACCAAAUUUCGGUCAAUCCGACGGAUCAUGAGAAGACGGCUUUUACAUGUCCUUUCGACAUCUUUGCUUACCUAAGAAUGCCUUUUGGGUUAUGUAAUGCACCGACAACAUUUCAACGGUGUAUGCAAGCGAUAUUCUCAGAUUUGAUCGAAGAAUGCAUUAAGGUGUUCAUGGAUGAUUUCUCCGUUUAUGGAUCAUCUUUUGAUUUAUGCUUGAAACAUCUUGAUGUGGUUUUGGGAAGAUGUGUGGAAACCAACUUAGUGCUCAAUUGAGAGAAAUGCAACUUUAUGGUCACCGAAGGUGUUGUUCUCGGUCAUAAAAUCUCCUCCAAGGGCUAGAAGUUGAUAGAGCAAAGGUGGAAGUCAUUGAAAAAUUACCACCUCCAACAAAUAUAAAAGGAAUAAGGAGCUUUCUCGGACAUGCCGACUUUUAUCGGAGAUUCAUCAAGGAUUUCUCAAAGAUAGCAAAACCCUUGAGUAAUUUGCUCAACAAAGGUACGCAAUUUCUUUUCGAUGAGUCGUGUCUAAAAGCUUUCCUUGAUUUGAAAGAAAAGUUAGUCACCGUACCCAUAAUCGUUGCACCAAAUUGGACACUUGAUUUUGAACUUAUGUGUGAUGCAAGCGAUUAUGCAGUUGGUGCGGUUUUGGGUCAAAGAAGAGAUACAAAAUUUCAUGUUAUCCACUAUGCUAGUAAAGUUUUAAAUGAGGCGCAAGUCAAUUAUGCAACAACCGAAAAAGAAUUACUAGCCAUAGUGUAUGCAUUGGAAAAGUUUAGAGCUUACUUGAUAGGGUCUAAAGUUGUAGUUUACACCGACCAUUCGGCGAUCAAGUCUUUGCUAACCAAGUCGGAUUCCAAACAAAGAUUAAUUCUUUGGAUUUUGUUAUUACAAGAAUUUGAUUUGGGAAUCCGGGAUAAAAAAGGUUCCGAAAACUUGGUAGCGGAUCAUUUGUCUCGUUUGGUAAUAUGGAAAUUACUAACAAAGAAGAGGAAGUAAGAGAAGAAUUUCCGGAUGAAAAACUUUAUGCGAUUCAAGUGAGGCCUUGGUUUGCCGAUUUUGCUAAUUACAAGGCAACCGGUUUAACACUGGAAGACCUCACUAGUAAACAAAGAAGGAAAUUCUUGGCGGAUGCAAAAUACUAUGUUUGGGAUUAUCCGUAUUUGUUUAAAGUGGGUGUGGACAAUAUUUUGAGAAGGUGUGUAACACUUGAGGAGUCAAAAGACAUCCUUUGGCAUUGUCAUAACUCUCCGUAUGGAGGUCACUAUAGUGGUUUGAGAACGGCCACUAAAGUGCUCCAAGCGGACUUUUAUUGGCCGUCUUUGUUUAAAGAUGCAUAUGAACACGCGAAGAGUUGUGACACAUGCCAACGAAGUGGAGGAAUAGGCAAAUAGAAUGAAAUGCCUCUAACCAACAUGUUAGAAGUAGAAGUUUUUGAUUGUUGGGGUAUUGAUUUCGUUGGCCCAUUCCCCUCUUCCUUCUCAAAUGAGUAUAUCCUCGUGGCCGUUGACUAUGUUUCGAAAACCAACAUGUUAGAAGUAGAAGUUUUUGAUUGUUGGGGUAUUGAUUUCGUUGGCCCAUUCCCCUCUUCCUUCUCAAAUGAGUAUAUCCUCGUGGCCGUUGACUAUGUUUCGAAGUGGGUGGAAGCCAUUGCUUCACCUAAGGCCGAUGCCAAAACGGUGAUAAUUUUUUUAAAGAAAAACAUAU
Molecule: long non-coding RNA, 64067 nt
Filed under: Lathyrus oleraceus (garden pea)
Lineage: Eukaryota; Viridiplantae; Streptophyta; Magnoliopsida; Fabales; Fabaceae
Description: Pisum sativum (pea) long non-coding RNA (PSAT_LNC008519)
Source: RNAcentral